RNAcentral lists this long non-coding RNA (54151 nucleotides) under Prunus persica (peach). RNAcentral's name for it is "long non-coding RNA (PPER_LNC005171)". Lineage: Eukaryota; Viridiplantae; Streptophyta; Magnoliopsida; Rosales; Rosaceae. The record is from RNAcentral.
GGAAGAAUGGUAAGUUAAUAGCUCUUAUUAUUUAUGUGGAUGAUAUGAUUGUGACUGGUGAUGAUCUUGAUGAAAUUGGCAAACUAAAAGGCUAUUUAGCUUCUGAGUUCAAUAUGAAGGAUCUCGGUGGAUUAAAAUAUUUUUUGAGUAUUGAGGUAACUCAUUCUGAACAGGGAAUUUUCUUGUCACAAAGAAAAUAUGUUCUUGAUUUGCUAAAGGAAACAGAUAUGCUUGGGAGUGAACUGAUUGUUACUCCUAUAGAACAAAAUCAUGGUUUGGAAGAAUGUCCACAUCAAGUUCCAACUGAUAAGGAAUGAUAUCAAAGGUUGGUUGAUCGUUUGAUAUAUUUGUCUCACCCUAGACCUGAUAUUGCAUAUGCAGUAAGUGUGUAAAUAGGUUCAUGCAUAAUCCAAGUGUACGACAUAUAGAUGCAGUAGUCCAAAUUUUGAGGUAUUUGAAGUCCGCAUCAAAAAAAGUUCUGAUGUUCUUAAAGCAUGGGCCUGUAAAGGUUGUGGGGUAUACAAACUCACAUUAGGCAGGAAAUAGGGAUAAGAGGAGAUCGACAUCUGUUUAUUUCACGUUUGCAUGAGGUUACUUGGUUACUUGGUUACUUGGAGGAGUAAAAAUCAGAAGGUUGUCUCUUUGUCGAGUGCAGAGGCCGAGUAUCGAGCUAUGGUGAAAGGUGUUUGUGAACUACUAUGGUUGAAAAGGCUUAUGGGGGAGCUGGGUAUUCCUACUAAGGAUACUAUGAAGUUGUAUUGUGAUAAUCAGUCAACAAUUAAGAUUGCUGAAAAUCCAAUUCAACAUGAUAGAACGAAACAUGUAGAGAUUCAUCAGAACUUUAUUUAUGAGAAAUUGGAAGAGAAGAUUAUUGAAGUUCCAUAUGUUAAGACUACUGAACAAUUGGAGAAUAUGUUUACCAAGGCCGUAUCAAAUCAAGCCUUUACAGAUUCACUUGUCAAGCUGAGCAUAAGCCACAUCUAUGCACCAUCUUGAGGAGGAGUGGUGGCAUGAAUCACAGAAUCACAAUAGGAAUUAUAGACAAUUACCUUUAUUAUAAUUGAUUUGUAAUUAUAGGAAUAUCGGUUUGACUGGGUUGCAUUUAUUUCUUUUUUCCUUAUUGUAAUUACUUCCUAGAUAGGCUUGUAUUUGUAUCACUAUAAAUACCUCCUUGUGAGAAGAAUAGAAUAUACUAAAUUAUUCAUAACCCUAAAUUCCAUUUGAGUAUUUGCAGACCCUUGAUCUUUCCUUCAACCAUGUUACAUCAAAAAAUCGAGAUUGGUUGUCUCAUCUUUCUUCCUUGAGAUACUUGAACAUGAUAUCUCUAAAUUUUUCCAAGGUUGUAAGUUGGCCACAAACUAUAAGCAAGCUCUCUUCACUAAUAGAGCUUCAGUUAUCAAAAUGUGAUCUUCCUGAAGUUGACCUCAGAUCAUCAAUGCCCUUUAUUAAUUCUUCUUCCACCUCUCUUCAGGUCCUUGAACUUUAUGAGAAUCUUCUUUUGAAUACCUCAAUAUUUUAUAGGAUAUCUAAUCUCAGCAGCAACCUUGUCCAUAUUGGAUUAGGAGGAAAUCAGCUACAAGGUCCCAUCCCAGAUGUUUUCACAAACAUGGUCUCUCUGACAUCUCUUCAACUCUUUUAUAACAACCUUGAAGGUGGGAUACCAAAAUCCCUUCGAAAUCUAUGCAGCUUAGGAACAUUAGAUUUAGCGUCAAACAAAUUUUCUGAAAAGCUUCAAAUGCCGUAGAAAAAAUUUCGUGUGCAAAGGAUAGCCUUAAGUACUUGGACUUAAGCAGUAACCCAUUUUGGGGGUCAUUUCCUGAUGAUCUUACCACAUUUCUAUCCCUGACAAGUAUAAACAUGGAGGGUUAUAUGAGUGGGUCUCUCCCAAGAACACUAGGAUAAAUUUCCAAGCUAACAUUAUUGAGCUUCGCUUCAAACUUUAUUUAUUUCAAAUCAUCAACUAAAGGGAUCUCUACCACAGAGUGGAGGGCAACUUUCUAGCCUUGAAGUUUUGGAACUUUCUUGGAAUUCCUUGAAUGGUGUCAUAACAGAAGCACAUUUCUUGAACCUCUCUCGUUUACAAUCUUCCGAUAUUUCUCAUAAUCCUUCUUUGUACUUCAACUUCAGCUCAGAUUGGAACCCACUGUUUCAACUUGAUAUAUAAAUCAUGACCUCUUGCCAGGUUGGCCCAACUUUUCCCAAAUGGACUCAUAGGCAGAGAAAACUUACCAAUCUUGAGAUGUCCAAUGCUGGGACAUCUGACUUAAUACCAAAUAUAUUUUGGGACCUAUCUUCUGCUAAAAUAUGAAAACUAUGAGAGAAUAUUUGUUUGUGGGAAUUUUCUGUAUAUUCUUCUCCUUGUAGGAGGUCAUAUUUAUAAUACAACGAAACCUGAAUGAGCAAGUAAAUAAUAAAUUCAUAAAUCUAUUUGCAGUAGGAAAUCAGGAAUUAAAGUAAAUCAAUUACAAUUAUAAUAGGAAUUCUUGGUGUGUAAGGAAAGUAAGUCAAUAUCCACAAGUCGCGCCAACACUCCCCCUCACGUUGGUGCAUAGAUGUCGCCAAUGCCCAACUGAUCUAGUGAAUUGUGGAAUGCUUUACUGGAAAUCGCCUUUGUCAAAAUAUCCGCCAAUUGAUCCUCGGAUUUCACAAAAGGAAACUAAAACACUUUAGCCUCAAGCUUUUGUUUGAUGAAGUGUCGAUCCACCUCAACAUGUUUAGUACGAUCAUGCUGAACCGGAUUCUGUGCAAUGGCUAUAGCAGCCUUGUUGUCACAAAAGAGAUUCAUUGUGGAUGUAGGUUUAUACCCAAGUUUAGUAAGCAACUUUCUUAACCAAAGAAGUUCACAAAUCCCUUUAGUCAUGCCUCUGAACUCACUGUUUCUUGCUUCUCCAUGUCACUAAAUUACCUCCCACGAAUGUGAAGUAACCCGAUGUGGAUUUUCUAUCUGUUACAUUACCUGCCCAAUCUGCAUCUGAAUAACCAUCAAUAUUUAGAUUACCAUGCUUUGAGAACAUAAGUCCUUUUCCAGGUGCAGACUUCAAAUAUCUAAGUAUCCGAAGAACUGCAUUCAUAUGGUCUUCACUUGGAGAGUGCAUAAAUUGACUGACAACGCUCACCGCAUAAGCAAUGUCUGGUCGAGUAUGUGACAAAUAGAUCAAUCUUCCCACUAACCUUUGGUAACUUUCUUUGUUAGUUGGAACUUGAUCCGGAUAAACUUGAUCCGGAUAUUCUCCAAAAUGAUGAUUCUGAACAAUAGGAGUGUCCGCAAGUUUACAAUCUAGCAUUCCUGUGUCUGUUAACAAGUCUAAGACAUAUUUCCUUUGAGAGAGAAAUAUGCCUUGCUGCGAUCGAGCCACCUCAAUUCCCAAGAAAUAAUUGAGUCCACCUAGAUCCUUCAUCUUAAACUCCGUAGCCAGAUAGUCUUGUAGCUGUGAUAUUUCCUGUUUAUCAUUCCCAGUAAUAAUCAUAUCAUCAACAUAGAUUAUUAAUGCUGUUACCUUUCCUUUUCGAUGUUUCAAGAACAGAGUAUGAUCUGAGUUGCACUGUUUGAAACCAUUGUUCUUCAUUGCCAUGGUGAACCGUCCAAACCAUGCACGUGGUGACUGUUUCAAUCCAUACAAUGCUUUUCGUAACCUGCAAACUGUUCCAGUCUGAGUAGUAUUAUAUCCAGGAGGAAUGUCCAUGUACACCUCCUCCGUGAGUUCGCCAUGUAGAAAAGCAUUCUUUACAUCAAACUGGUGUAAUGGCCAAUCCAAAUUAGCUGCAAGAGACAAUAAGACUCUGACAGUAUGUAACUUUGCAACUAGAGCAAAGGUUUCUUCAUAGUCUAUACCAUAGGUCUGUGUGUACCCUUUUGCCACAAGUCUUAUCUUGUAUCACUCGAUAGAUCCAUCUGCAUUGUGUUUUAUAGUAAACACCCAUCUACAUCCGAUAGUCUUUUUUCCUCGGGGUAUAGUCUCCAAUGUCCAAGUUUGAUUUUUCUCAAGGGCUUUCAUCUCCUCUUUUAUAGCUUGGACCCACUUAGGAUCUUUCAAUGCUUCAGAGACCUUGGUUGGAAUAUGGAUAGCAGACAACUGAUGCACAAAAGCCUUGAAUGGUUCAUACAGCUUCUCAGUGGAUACAUGAUUUGCAAUUGGAUACUUGGAUGUCUUGCCAAUAUUAGGUGAAUAACGGUUUGGUGGCUUCCCACGAUUUUGCCUGAAAGGUAAUUGAUAUCCAAUAGUUUUAUCAUCUAAAUGCACAAGUCUAGUAGGAGUAGUUACCUCAAGAAUAUUCUCAGGAGAUUGGUCUGUUGGUACUGUUGAGUUAGAGGGGGGGUCUUCAUCUUGUUGUUCUGUAUUGUCUGUAGGUGUGAGACUCGGAUCAGAAAUAUCUUCGCAUGGAUCAGGUGGGUCAGGCAAUUGAUCGCUAUGAAUGGGCGAUUGGUCGCUUUUCGACAGAGAGUAAUCUCGUGCUCCAAACUCGGAAUGAUCAAUCAUUUCUGUACAAAAGAUAAUUUCUUUAUUUUCCAAGUUGCUCCAAUUCUGCUCUUCACUUUGUAUCUCCCCCUGAAGUGUAGAAUUGGAUGAUGGGUCAUGGAAGAACAGCUCAGAUUUCGAAAAGGUCACAUCCAAAGUGACAUAGGUUCGUUGGGUAGGAGGAUGAUAACAGCGGUAGCCUUUCUGAUAAGUGGCAUAACCCACAAAAACACAACGAAGCGCACAUGGAUCAAGUUUGCUACAUUGAUUUUUGUGGAGAUGAAUGAAAGCCAUACUUCCAAAGAUUCGGGGUGUGAGGACCAAAACAGAAGGCAAAGGUCUGUAUUGUGCAAGCACCUGUAAGGGAGUUUUAAAGGUCAGUACACCAGAAGGCAUGCGGUUGAUCAGAUGAACUGCGGUGACAAUAGCAUCAUCCCAGUGAUGGCGAGGAACAUGAGCGCCAAUCAGAAGUGCUCGGGCGGUUUCAAGAAGAUGUCGAUUCUUUCGUUCAGCAACAACAUUUUGUUGUGGUGUCUGAGGACAAGUCGUCUCAUGGAUAAUUCCAUGUUGUUGGAAGUAAGUCUGAAAGUCAUGAUUGACAAAUUCUCCACCAUUGUCUGAGCGAAGAAUCUGGAUUUGAGCAUUAAACUGAGUUUUCAUCUGUUGUGGAAGGACUGAAAACAGGAAAACACUUCGUUUUUAUUCUUCAGCAAAUAAAGCCAUGUCAUCCGUGUACAAUCAUCGAUAAAUGUGACAAACCAUCGAACACCAGAAGAAGCAGUGAUAGGAGAAGGUCCCCGGACAUCAGAGUGAAUUAACGUAAAUGGAGUAGUACACUUGUUCGUACUCAACGGGUAGGGCACACGGUGACUCUUGGCGAAAAUACAAGUAUCACAUGUGAAGUCAGAGUCCUUGAAACCUGAGAAUAAAUCUGGUAUAAGAUGCUUCAUAUAACUAAAAGAUGGAUGUCCCAAUCGACGGUGCCACAACCAGAUUUGCUUUUGUUUGCUAUCAAAGGGAUGUGUCACGCUGUUAGCCAUGCCGGGACUGAAGUCAUCGACAUAAUAUAGCCCCCCUCUCUUAGUACCACGACCAAGAAUUUCCUUAGUGUGAAUAUCCUGAAGCAAACAAAAACUCGGGUAAAUGAGUACACAACAAUUCAAUUGUUCAGUAAGCUGACUAACUGACAACAAUUUAGUGGAUAAAGAUGGAACAAGUAAAGUAUUAGACAGUGUGAGAGAGGAUGAGAACAUCUUCCAGCUUAGUUGAGUUAAAUCUCUCUAUGAACCAAAUCCAUGGGAAGCUCCCAAAUCUGUCAUCAGAAAACAGCUCCAGUGCUAUUAUUGACUUGACUUCUAAUCAUUUGUCUGGUCCACUCCCAUCAUUCCCUCAUAGCAUUAACGUUGCAUUUCUCUCCAAAAACAUGUUUUCCGAGACCCUAUCUUCCGUAUGUGCAACACAGGCUCCGGAUUUGCAUGUUCUCAACCUUUCUGAAAACCUUCUAUCAGGAAAACUUGUUGGAAGCACUUUCAAGGAUUGCUGUCACUGAAUUUGGCAGGGAACAAUUUAUCUGGGAAAUUUCCAAGGUCAUUAGGCUAUUUGAUGAAUAUUAUAUCCUUACGUUUACAUGAUAACAGCUUUUCAGGAGAGUUUCCUUAUCUGGAGACCUGUACAGAAUUAGUGGGGGUUGACCUUGGAGCCAAGAAGUUAUCUGGAAAAAUACUAGCAUGGAUAGACCAAAGCCUAAGUUCAAUGGAAGCAUGCCCUUAACUCUAUCCAGUCUAUCCAUCAUUCAUGUUUUGGACCUCUCCCAGAACAAUAUAUCUGGAGCCUUGCCACAUUGCCUCAACAAUAUAACAGCUUUGUCUUAUGAGUUGUACGAUUUCACAAUCGCUGAUAUAUUCGUACAACUGGUGUGGAAAGGAGUUGAUAUUGAGUUUGGGAGAAGUAUUAAGCAUUUGAGAAGCAUUGACAUUUCAAGCAAUCACUUGGUCAGUGAGAUUCCGGAAAAUAUUGCAAGUAUGACAAAAGUUGAACUCUCACAACCUAUCAAGAAACAAUCUGUGGGGAGAGCUUACUGAAAAUUUUGGUCAGUUGAAGAUGUUAGAAUCUCUUGACUUGUCAAGAAACCAGCUAUCUGGUAGAAUUCCAUCAAGCUUUUCGAGCUUGAAUUUUCUGAGUGUCUUGGACUUAUCAUACAAUAACUUGUCAGGAAGAACUCCACUAAGCGCCCAACUUCAGAGUUUUAACUCCUCUCAGUAUAUGGGAAAUCUUGGACUUUGUGGACCACCAGUGACACAGAAAUGCCCUGGAGAUUAAACAACUCAAGAUCCUGGAAUCACCAGUGGCAACAAAAGUGAUUGUAACACCGAAGGAGACAAUGAUGGCCUCAUAUACUUGGGAUUUUCUGCAAGUAUAGUGCUGGGUUUCCUCAUAGGAUUUUGGGGUGUCUAUGGGACUUAACUGCUUAAGAGUUCAUGGAGAUAUGCCUACUUACAAGUCCUGAAUGAUACAAAAGACUGGAUUUAUGUUACAACAGCACUGCACACGGAAAAAUUGCAGUGGAGACUUCAAAGAUAAAUGGUAAAAGCUAUGUAUUGCUCUGUUUCUGUUCCGUCAAAUUUAUAACGUAUCUACUAUCUACACAUAUGAGCAGCUUAUCUAUUUUUGCUUAAGAAUAUUGCAACAUAAUGUACCUCCUUUGCACUUGCAUAACAGUUCGAAAAUUUUGUCUUUUGACUCUCCUGUCCAGCUACGAUCUUAGAAGUUGCCAGCUUUCGGGGGAAUAAGCUUUCUCCAGAGCUUCAAGGAUUAAUGUGGGAGGUUUUUUGCUGUCUUUGAUUUUUUCUUUUCUUUCAACAAGUAUGACGCUUGUUUGUGGUAAUAAAUUAUGUGCACUGGAUGCCAUUUUCCAUGUAUUGUUCCCAAAAUAUCAUUUUCAUAUCCCCAUAAUAUGUCAUGCAACACCUCUGAUGAGAAGCUAUAUGCUGUAGUCAUUGUUUUUCAAAAUUUGUCCUGAAAAAUUUUUGUCCAAUGAAAACUGCGAAAUCUGAAAAUUUAGCCAUUAAUCUCAAGAACUUGGACUAAUUUUGUUCGAUGGAAAUUCGGAUAGAAGAACUAAUAACAGGAAAGAAAAUUGAAGCUUAACAUUAAUGCUGCACUGAUGAAACCAUGAAAGCAUUUUUAAAUCGAAGUGUUAUUACUUAAUUGAGGGUGGUUCCAUGAACUUUUGGGUAAUCAAUGUAAUUAAAUUUCACUCCACAAGAAUGAUUCCCCGAAGAAAAGGGAAAGAAAGAAAGAGAAGAAAAAAAAAAACACAAGCAAUUUUCGCAUGAAUGCUACCACAGUGCGCAGCUACGUCUUCAAACUAAUAAAAAGAAAAAAGGUAAAAUGCUCAGUAUGGAUUACAGCAAUUCCACAGAUCAGUCUACUAAGUCUUCCUCUAUUUCACUGCCUUCUUCCAUUCUAUUACAAGAAGAAAGAAAAGAUUUCCUUGAAUUCUUUUAUAGCAAGUGAAAAAAAUGUGACAUUGACCAGCACUUGUUCCCGUGGAAAAAGAGGACCUUUGACUUAUAUGUGCUAACUAAGCAAGUGAAAAUACUCUCAAGAACGUGGCUCAAAUGAUGCUUGGGGAUCCAGUAAUAAGAGCCAUAAGUGGGCUAAGCCAGCUAACUUGGGUGGAACUAUGGAUGCUUCUGUACAUGACAUGUCAUAUAAUAAGUGCUUAUGCAACAUGUAAAGUUGCCACUCAAUAUGUUGCUGGUGUAGCAUGUCUCAGAAUUAUGAGGGUCAGUUUUGAGAGUAUAAAAAGUUCAUUACCCCUCCACUCACCAACGUUGAUACAUGAGUGCGGUCACCCGUUGGUCCUUCUCUAGCAAGCCCUGAAUUGCUUAUAGCACAUUGGAGGAUUUGAAAUCUCGAUAUAUCACCUGUCCAUGUAACGCAAGGAAACAAGGUUCCACAAACAUAUAAUCAAGAAUCUGUCUUCUUACAAACAAAUAAUGAUCAUGUGAGGUCAGCAAGUGUAUCAUAUCCAUAUGCAUAUAAUUUCUGCGAUAUUUGGUAUCACAAGUAAAAUAAGGAUAUGAGGAUAUUAGUUUUUUCAAGCCCACAAGUAGAGCUGAACCAAGCCUGUGACUUCUUUAACUGUAACCACACCACUAAAGCAACACUCUAGUUUUCUGCACAUUUUCUAGUUGUGGGAAUUUUUUGUUUCUCCUGAAAUGACUCAAAUGUAGCAGCAAAGGUUGUUUGCUUUAAUCUAACAGAAAUGGUCUUUGCUCUGUAAUCUAAUUUUUACAGCCGUCAGACGAAAAAUCUUCAUCUGUACCUAACUUAUGGCAGUUACAUCACAUGAGUAAAACAUACCCUUGAAGUUCCAAAAACAGAGAUUGCAGUUUGAAAGUAGGAAACAAGAAAAAGAUAUAUAAAACAACAUAAAAUAUCAGCAGUCCCAGUUCAAAUCCUCGGUCAAUUUAAAAAGACGACGUAACUAAAAUUCUCACACAUUCGUAAAUAAAUACCAAUAUCUUCUGAAAUCACAGAAAUACCUUAAUCGAUUAUGUUAUUAGUUUCCAUUGGUUAAAUUAACAUAGCCAAAACUAGCAAGCCAGCACAGAGAAACCAUAUGUUCAAAUGAUGUGGAAGUUUUAAGUUAAAAACAAACUGACUAACAAUAGUAUGGUCAAAUCAGAUAAAAUGGAUAGAAACUAUAUGCACCUGGACUUCCAGUCCCUGGUGUAGAUAAGCCAAACCUUGAGCAGAACCAAGCAUAACCUGUAGUCUUGUCAUCCAAGGCAUUGUGGGCAAAUCCCUGUUGAAAGGAUGAUCUUCUAAGCUUCUAUUAGGCAUAUAUUCAUAUACCAGUAGCCGCUGUAUCCCUCUUUCUCCAUCUACAGAACAAUAUCCUAAAAGUUUUACUAGGUUUGGGUGAUUUAAGACGCCAAUAAAUUGAACUUCUGCAAGCCAUUAUUUAUUACCUUGUUUGAGAAAAGCUAAUAACCAAAAGCUUGGCAACCAAAAGAAUUAGAACAACAUGUAAGAGGCAUAUAAUGUUGUAAAAUGUGUGUAUAAAAAGGUCUCUGAUUACCCUUAAACAUCAUUAAAAUAUUUGCCAAUCUCAGAAGAUAAUGACAAAUAUACUACUAGAUGCAGCAAAAUCUAUGCGUCAACCAUAUAACUGGUUAAAAGAGUAAUAAGAUGUAACUUUUUGACAGACCGAUAUCUUGAGUGGAAAAGAAAACACGGGAAUUUUUUUCCCUGCAUUGCCAGAACCAUGUUUCAAUGACUUCAAUUCAUGCUUCACAUGAAAUUCUGAAAAAAUCAUCAUCAACAACAAGAAGCAUGAUAUUUCUCCAAUUCACUAGAUUCCAGAUCUAUCAUGAAUGUAAAAGGUGGCCAUUGAACAACCUGACCACACACAUAUGCAGAUAUUAUCAGCAAAGAAUAUUACAAAUUUUCCGACAAAGUGAUGCCAAAAUCCUGUGAGAUACUUUAGAGAAAAUCAGCAAUGAUACAUAUAGACAGCCAGGUUAUGUGAAACUAAAACAGAUAUCAUGUCCUUUCAUGAAUUUGGACUAAUAUUCAUUUCGUAACUAAGUGGAAACUGUAUUUACAGAUUAAAAAAUUCAACGUUUGUUGAGAACCAAAGAGUUAUGUCCAAGAGGAACACCCAAAAGAGAAGUGGGUGUUCCUCUUGGACACAAGUUCCCCCUACACAGAAACAAAAAGAACCCAUUUCACCAAAACAAAUUCCAAGUCCAAAGAUCCACAUAAACCAAAAAUUAAAUGCUACCCAACAUGGAAAAUAGGUACCUUUAGCACUAGGAACAUCUAUAACUCGAAUUACAAUUACUUAAACUGAUCACAAUUACAGAAUAAACAAGACAAUAAAAAACAUUACAAUUACUUAAACUGAUCACAAUUACAGAAUAAACAAGACAAUAAAAAACGUGCUAGCUCUCCUCAAAAACCAUGUACUUAUAAUCAUUUUGUGGUUCAAAAUCAGAAACGUGCCCUGGUUAGACGGCAAAGGCAAGUUCUUGAUGUCGAUAUUGAUAGCCUUGGUGGAGCUUUCGAACCCUAGUCUCCAACUUCUCUUCAUCAUCCCAAUCUUGCGGAUGAUGACGAGGAUCAGAUUGCUCAGGCGCCUUAGGGUUUUGUUGACAAGAAGAUGGAGACGGUGCGCUUGGCAUCAAGCGGAGGGUCUCCAAAUCCUUGCCUUUGCCGUGAGAUGGUUUCUUGAGCUUCUCCAGAAUUGCCAAGUCGCGCCCAUCAAGUUUGAUGUCGUCGAACAACUUGGAGGGAUCGCAAGUCAUGAUUUCAAGGAUGAAGACAGCUUCAAGGUCGUCCAGCGGAGGGCAAGGGAGUCCACCAAAGUCGUCAUCUUCAAGUUUGAUGUCGUCGAAUAAGUUGGAGGGAUCGCAACUCAUGGUUUCAAGGAUGAAGACAGCUUCAAGGUCGUCCAGCGGAGGGCAAGCGAGUCCACCAAAGUCGUCAUCGUCAACAGGAGGCUCUCGCUCGCAUCGCUCUUCCUUCAAAGCCGUCAUCUUGUCUGAAAGAGAAAAGUAGGGUCUUGACUCGAUCGUUUGAAAGAGAAAAGAUUACAGCCAAUUUUGGAAACCCUAAAUCACAGUAGCUAGUGUUUACAAAAGGCUCAGGGCUACAUACGUAUAUAUAGCUUUCUGUUUCCUAAUCUCACUGGGAAAAAAAAUAUUCAAAGAGAUAUAUGUUGUAAAAGUUUGAAGGUGGAGCCCACAGAGGAAGUUUCCUUGCAUCUUCCAGGAACUUUCUCUUUCCUGUAUUUAUUCCUGACAUCUUCCAGGAACUUUCCUUCCCUGUAUUUAUCAAUUCAUGAAGUUUCCUUGCAUCUUCCAGGAACCUUCCCUUUCCUGUAUUUUGCCUAAACAUUAGCCUAUAAAUAGGCAUACCAAUUGUAAAGGGGAGUGUGACCAACGGAGAAAAGAAAGAAAGGGGAGAAGAGAAAAAGAAGAGAGAAGAAGAAGAGAAAAGAAGAGAAAAAGAAGAAAGAAAAGAGAGAAGAAGAAAGAGAGAGAAAAUUCAGUGAGCCUCACAUAUUGUAAACUCUAAAGUUGUAGCCCUAUUAUUUUAUAUAGUGAAAAAGUUACUGCUGCUGCUCUCCGAGGACGUAGGCAUAGCCGAACCUCGUUAAAUGCUGUGUCUCAUCUACUUUACGUGCAGCUCAAUAUUCAUACAUAUUCCAGGUUAUUUUUAUAACACGUUAUCAGCACGAGAAGCUCUCAGGUAUAAUUUUUGUGUUGCACUAUUAUCUAUACUACUAACCACUAUUACGUGCUGCACUAUUCAUACUAAACAUAUUAUCAGUGGGAGACCGUUACUAAUACUAACAUUUUUCUUAUUUUAUUCAGUGGUGGUUUUAACCCCACAUUUAUUUACUGUAUGGUGUAGGUUUAUUAUCCAUACAUGCACCUUUACUUUAUCGCAAAUUUAUUUUACCGCAUAUUUAUUUUAUUUACUGUAUGGUGUAGGUUUAUUACCCAUACAACAGUAUUUAUUUAAAAGGGUGGUGCGGGUUUAUCGUCCACGCCUUUGCUUUCAUUUAAAUGUAUGGAGCAGAAUUAGUGCCCAUACAAGCACAAUAUACUUUACCGCACAUUUAAUUUUAUUUAAAGUAUGGUGCGGGAUUAACGUCCAUACAGCAAGCAAUUUAGUUUAUGAAUUUAAUUUACCGCACAUUUACAUUUAUUUAAAAGGGUGGUGCGGGUUUAUCGUCCACGCCUUUACUUUUAUUUAAAUGUAUGGAGCAGAAUUAAUGCCCAUACAAGCACAUUAACUUUAUGAAUUUAAUUUACCGCACAUUUACAUUUAUUUAAAGUGUGGUGCGGGUUUAUCGUCCAUACCAGUAAUUUAUUUAUCAGCAAUUUAUUUUAUGGAUUAAUUGUGCUGUAUGAUAAGUUUUUCCAGUAUGCAGAUCAGGACCAAAAGUUCCUUGAUCCUCAUCAUACAAUUACAUCAGGACUUGAAGAUCCUUGAUGAUGAUAUUAAUAUGAGAGCUGGCAGUCUCUCCGGUACUGUAUUUGUAAACAUGUGAUCGGACUUAAGGGUCCUUGAUCCCUGACAUGUAAAUAAGGACUUAGAGUUCCUUAAUGAUGUAACAGUACCGUAUUGGUUCAUGAUGCCGUACACAUUGAUGAUAACUGUACUGGCAGAUGAAUAGAUACGUAUUCAUGACUUGAUGAAUAGUACUAUUCACAUGAAUAGUGACGUAUGCAUAAAUAUUAACCAUUUUGGGUAAACCGUCACUAUAUACAAAAGGGAACCUGCAGUUUCAUGGUGCCGUACACAUGGAUGAUAACUGUACUGGCAGAUAAAUAGAUACGUAUUCAUGAUUUGAUGAAUAGUACUAUUCACAUGAAUAUGACGUAUGCUUAAAUAUUAACCAUUUUGGGUAAACCGUCACUAUAUACAAAAGGGAACCUGCAGUUCCUUAAACUCAUGGAUGAGCAAUUAAAUGAGAUGCCAGAAGUUCCUCAAAAUAUGGACAAUUAUGUAAGGGCUUGAAGUCCCGAAAUAUGUACAGAAAAUUGUAAAAAUGUCCAUACCAUGAGAAUAUGUGGCUUUGGCCUGAAGUUCAAAAUUUAACAGUGUUGAGAACCUGAAGUUCCAACAAUUAAAUGGACAACUCUUGAGGUAUUAUUGCAAAUUGUGGUAUGCCACAUAUUUCUUUGGCAUAAGAAGAUGAUGAAUUUAAUAAAGUUCGAUUUUGUUAUAAUCGACACCUCAAGGAAGAAAUAUAUCUUGUGAAUUCCGGUUGUUAAGAAUACACCGCGAAAUGGAUAAUAUCAAUAUAAACCUCAAAUAAUGAAUUGAGGCUCCCCACAUAUUUUGUUAUAUCUGGGCCGGAAGCCCAUGGAUCCAAAUAUAUGAGAGAUCCUGAACUUGAAGUUGUGGGUAUAUAGUAGUUAAUGCUCUUCACUACUAUAUUGCGAUAUUAUCAUGGCUUUUAAUCAAUUCAUAUUUCAUGUCCAUUUGAAAAGGGCAAAUAAAUUCUGAGUUUGUGCCAAGGCCAUAAGUUCCGGGCUACCAUGCGAUAAAAUAUGAAAUUUGGGAGAGACAAUGUAGUUAUUUGAACCUAUAAGGCACAAGGUUCCAAAUCGUCAUUUUGAAAAGACGUAAAAACCACAGGUGCAAGUUUAAGAAUAUGCGCAAUUAUUAUAACAGGAACAUAUAACAGAUAGAUUUUUUCCACCUGCAAUGAAGGUGCAGGCCCUGUGAAAUCUAUAAAAAUUACAUUAUGUUCUGGAAGCCUCUGCAGGAAGAUGACGACGCCUCUUAAGCUUAGCCAUGAGCUUCUCGUGGUCUCCCAAAAUUCUUUCAUUGGAGACCUGCAGCAUGUCUAGCCUUCUCAGUGUAUCAACAGAGUACGAACUCACCAGUUUCAACAAGGAAUUAUUCUCUCCUUUAAGUUUCUCAACCUCCUGUUGAGACUCAUGAAGCAUUCUUUGAAGAGACGAAUUUUCAGUUGUCAGCUUCUCAACCUCGUUUGCUCUAGCACGCAAACGAUCAGCCAUGUUAGAAACAGAAGCAGCACUCUGAAUGCUAAAAGCCAUUGAGUCAUCAAUAGCCUCUUCCUCUGAUCUCCCUGUCAACAACAUUUCAUCCAUUGGAGUAAUGAAAUUCCUAGCUACUAUGACAGCAGUAGCAUCAUUCAUCAUCACAGAAUCAUUAACUGUGAGAUGACGAUUUUUGGAUACAAAGGAUGGACGCCAAACUUGGGCGUCAUUGGUUGUUGUGGGAGCAUCAUUUAAAUUGAAAUAAUUUGGGCAGGAAGAAGAGGGAGCCAUUUUUUUUUUAAGAAAGUUUCGAAGAAAGUCUUAAAAAAACUAAAGGCUCGGAAAAUGAAGGAAGUUGAGUUGAAACGCAGUUUGCAAAGGCAAUAUCUAUAGACGAAAAUGUGGCAACUUUUCAGGACCCCAAUAUCUUCUCGAAUCCCCAUAUUAUCUUUUUCUUUCCCAGAGUCCAAAACUUCACGUGGCCUCUAAUAAUGCUUGUCGGCACUUUCGGCGUUUUUCAAAGUAUUAUUUUCAAAGCCGAUCUUGCUUUACGGAUUUCACGGAGCUACUUUUUCAAAAGUAUCCCGAGAAUCUCGCAAUUUUCCUAUGGUUAAUUUGAAAUUCACCGGUUCUACCUAUUCAUUGUAUUUGUGUAUAAAUGUGUUACUAACGAAAUUUUCUCUGCAGAAGACAUCCAGUUUACUCCAUACCUAGUGAUGCGAUAUCUACUUGUUUUUCUUAUCAGUAAGCACUCAAUAUGCCCGAGAAGCAAGACUAUCUCUGAUCAUCCAUUCAGGAAGCAAGACUAUCCCUGAUCAUCAGGGAACUGUGAAGGCGACCUUAUGCUCUAAUCUCCUGAGGUCCUUCUAGACUAGGAGAAAUGAGAGCUUGUUAUCUGCUCCCACCAGCUUCCUUCCUUGCUUGCUUACCUUACCUUGCAAUCAAUAUCACAAUUUUUGUAUCUUUUCUUUCUUUUUAUAACUCUCUGUUCAUAAGGGAUUUUAUUUCUUUAGAAUGAACAUCCGAAGAAAGAAUCCAUGCAGUGAUCCUAACUCUGAGAGUUAUUUGUUUUUGACAGAGAAAAGAAUUGUGAUUUUUGCUCUUGCAGGAUAUAACAAGAUCAUCAAGCGAUACUUUAUAUUUACUGGGCCGAUACGAGCUUGAAUGAUACUUGAGAAAAGUUUCUCCCACCUAAGGAUGUAAGCAAUACUUGUGUUAUUUUAUGCUUAUAUACCUAUUUGAUAUUUUGUCUUGAAAGGUAACCAAAUGGGGAGAUAAGUCCGUUCCAAAAGAAUGGCUUGUAUGUAUCCAUGAAUUAUUAACGCAAAUUUUACAGAUUGCAAGUUGGAUACAUUGAUAAUACACUGCACAGAUUAAAGUCCCAUAAGAACAGAAUAUGGGUAUAGCAGUGAUCAAUAUGAUGCACGCCUGUUGCGUAGCAAAUGAUGUGGAUUGAAGUCCCGAAAAGACAAUCCUUUGACAUGUCAAUAUUGAUAUUAUGCACGCCUAAUGCGUAGCAAAUUAUAUGGGUUAAAGUCCCAUAAUAUGGGUUAAAGUCCCAGAAAUUAAUUGACAUGUAUGUAUUAAUCUGUGGCAUGCCUGUAGCAUGACAGAUAUAUGGGUUCUAAAUGUUCCAACUCUCUAAAUAGAGAUUAUCCACGCCCUACUGUAAAAUAACGCUCCAUUGGAGGUUAUAAUCCACAUUCUCACAUAAUAAAAGCCCCAUGAAGUGGCUUGGGUACCCAAAAGCAAAGAAAUGCUUAUAAUUGAUGCAUGCGCAUGCACAUGAGAAUGGUGAGAUCAUGAAUUGAUGAAUGACAAUUUUUGGUUUUGGAGUAGCUACUCAAAUUAUCAAUGGGCUGUGUUGAUUGGAACCACGUUCAAUUAUUAAAUGUCGACAAUAUCAUUGGCCAAAAUGGAACGAGGUAAUUCCAUUAUAAAUGAGAAUGAACGUGAAAGAACAAACCCACAAUACGAACCCCAAAAUUUGUUAAUACUGAAAGGUAUACUUGGGUGUUCGGAAUAAAAGGGAAUAUACCUACUUUGUAUGACACCCUGUUUCUGGCAGAAACAAGGAAUGUUGGGUUUUCUCCAUAUUUACAGAUUCAAUUGUGCCCCCCCUUAUUACACAAUUACGGAGACCAACAUAUUAUCUUUAAGGGUUAUUAAAUGCACGGAGCAUAUCGCCAGAAGCGAUUUCCUAAAGAUGUAUAAAUAGCUGGGUAAAAGCUAUAUAAUGUGUCAUAAAGCUUAAUCCCUUUUAGACAAAAUCCGUUGAGAGGAUUGAUAUUGCAUAAAGCAAGUCCCUAAAGGACAUGUGCUUGAAGCACAAAAUUUGUACUCAAUAUUAAUAUGCAUAAAUUACCUCAGUGAAUACAUUGAUUAUAAUGUGAUUGCAACACAUUAAGGCUUCUGCAGAAUUCAUGAAAUAUUUGUCUCGAUCGAGCAUUAUGCCAACGAGAUUCUUGCUUAUACUAAGAAAGUAUUAAAGUAUUUUUAUGAGGAUUAUCCGUUGGACACUUUAAUGAUUUUCCGGAAGUAUAUUGGACCGGACAUCAUAUUUUCCAGAUAGGGCUCAACUCCAUCACCAUCAUUUUGGGAUGAUGUGAGGUAUAUUUGAUGCUAUCUAAGCAUAACACCAUAUACGGGCAUAUUUUUUUAGUGAACUUAUAAAUAGCCCAAGUGUUCUAAGAUAUGCGGACUCAGGAAAUCUCUAUGGUCGCUUAUUGGAAAAAGUUAGUCAUGAAGUUUUCAGGGGGAGAUAUUCAUCAGGGGGAGCAUGGUAUUAAUAAAGACCUUCAUACACUAUUGACUCACAGCAGCAGUGUCAACUAUGAUAUUCAGACAAAUGAUCAACAGUAUGGCUUAAAGAUAUUUUGUCAAGCAUCAGGGGGAGCGUGCUGUCAAUACAGACCCUUACACACUGUACUCUUUUUCCUUCGUCCAGGUUUUUAUCCCACUGGGUUUUUCCUGGCAAGGUUUUAACGAGGCAGUGUCGCACGCGCGUCAAUAUACACAGAAUUUUAUGUUACACGUGAUUAUGUACUCUUUUCCCUUCGACCAGUUUUUGUCCCACUGGGUUUUUACUGGCAAGAUUUUUAACGAUGCAUAUUCCAUAUCAUUUGUGGUCUCCAAGGGGGAGUGUUGUAAAAGUUUGAAGGUGGAGCCCACAGAGAAAGUUUCCUUGCAUCUUCCAGGAACUUUCCUUCCCUGUAUUUAUCAAUUCAGGAAGUUUCUUGCAUCUUCCAAGAACCUUCCCUUCCCUGUAUUUUGCCUAAACAUUAGCCUAUAAAUAGGCAUACCAAUUGUAAAGGGGAGUGUGACCAACGGAGAAAAGAAAGAAAGGGGAGAAGAGAAAAAGAAGAGAGAAGAAGAAGAGAAAAGAAGAGAAAAAGAAGAAAGAAAAGAGAGAAAAAGAAAGAGAGAGAAAAUUCAGUGAGCCUCACAUAUUGUAAACUCUAAAGUUGUAGCCCUAUUAUUUUAUAUAGUGAAAAAGUUACUGCUGCUGCUCUCCGAGGACGUAGGCAUAGCCGAACCUCGUUAAAUGCUGUGUCUCAUCUACUUUACGUGCAGCUCAAUAUUCAUACAUAUUCCAGGUUAUUUUUAUAACAAUAUAAACAUUAUUUGAGCAAAAUUAGAGGCUAAAUAAACCAAAAAAGUACUUUGGUAAUGAAAGCAUUAAAGUAUUCGGCUGUAGAUAUGGUAUAUGAGGUGGGCUGCUUUCUAGAAAAAUGGGUGGACUAUUAUGUAAUUUUCCUAAAUUGAACUUACAAAACUAAGCCUAACUUGUCUCUCGCUAAAGUAAGCACUUGGCUAAAACCCACUCUAGCUCAAGUAUGAAUCCACCUUUGGAUAUACAUGUGUGUGUGUAAUGUUCUCAUAUGAGAUUUAUUUAUUUUUUUUUAUAAAUGUGUAAUAGUAAUAUAAUUUUUUAUAUAAAAAAAAAAUCUAGAAUAGAUAUUCAUCAAACAUUCAUGUUUUGCAUCUUAUUGUUACAUAAACUGAAAUUCAAUUUAUAUUAAUUUACAAUCAGUACUACUUAAAAUAAACCAAAAAUACUGUAACCCCGAAAUUAUGAAAUAACAUGGGAUCUACCAUCAACAUCUAACUGCUUGUUGAAUGUAAUCAAAUUCUGCAGACACUGUAUUUAAUUUCUGUCAAACAAAACUUGAUUAGACAUUGAGUGUAUGGUUUCAUGACUUGCUUAUCUGCCAAAUCUAUAAGACCAGCGAAUAGAAUUUUCUAAACUACAAAUACAUAUAUAACUGCAUAAAGACGCAUAAACAGUGAUGGAUAUCCAUAGGCAAGUAAAUAGGAACAAAACAGAGAAACAGAGAGAGAGAGAGAGGGAGAGAUAAGAGACCAGGUUUUCCACACAAAACUGGUGCUUGUUUAGUGUUUAGGGUUUAGGGUAAUAAAUUAUGUGCACCGACGUGAGGCGUAAAAAAGGAAUGCCAUUUUCCAUGUAUUAUUCUCAAAAUAUCAUCUUCAUAUCCCCAUAAUAUUUCAUGCAACUCCUCUGAUGAGAAGAUACAUGGCAUAGUCCUAGUUUUUCAAAAUUUGUCCUGACACAUUGUUCUCUAAUGAAAACUGUAAAAUCUGAAAACUUAGCUACUACUUUCAAGAACUUUGAUUAAUUUUGUUUGGAUGGGAAUUCGGAUAGAAAAAUUAAACAGGCGAGAAAUUGGAGUAUAAUGCUGCACUGAUGAAAUCAUGAAAGCAUAUUUCAAAUCAAGUAUUGUUACUUAAUUGAGGGAGGUUCCAUGAACUUUUGGCUAAUCAAUGUAAUUAAAUUUCACUCCAAAAGAAUGAUUCCCAGAAGAAAAGGGAAAGAAAGGGAAAAAAAUAACAAGCAAUUUUCACAUGAAUGCUACCACAGUGCGCAGCUAUGUCUUCAAACUAAUAAAAAGAUAAAAGGUAAAAGGCUCAGUAUGGAGAUUUACAGCGGUUCCACAGAUCAGUCUACUGGGUCUCCCCUAUUUCACUGCCGCCUUCUUCCAUUCUAGAAUUUUACAAUAAGAAAAUAAAAGAUUCCUUGAUUUCUUGUGCUUCAGGACCUCAGAAAUUUACAUAGUUCCCGGAUUUGACAGCUACCGAUGAAUCGAGGCUCGCACCUGAAAGUCCCCGAAAAAAGAUUUAAAGGGUUAACUGCAACCCUGCUAUACUUGCUUAAUAAUAUCCAACCAUUUAAACCUGCUCAAAAAAUUUCAAAAGAAUUUGGUCACAACAGAAAGUGGUAUCUAUAAUAAUGCUCUCUUAUAUCAAGUCUACUUGGGUUUCCGCUUAGCCAAUUUAGACCCAGAUGCCUCAAAACUUCUAUUUUCAGAACUGGUUCCCGCUUCUGAAUCUUGUAGAGCUUGCUUCAAGACCUCUACCACCUCACUCAUUGUUGGUCGGUCUUUUGCAUUCUUGUUCAGACAACUAUCUGCCAACUUGGCAAGUUUUCGAGCAGCAGUAAGAGAAUACUGACCUCUCAGCAAUGGAUCUAUUAUCAUGCUGAACCUUUUACCGUCAGCCGGGAACUGUUUAACCCAAUAAAGAAGUUUCUGUUCCGCUGGCGGGCGGUUCUUGUCCAAGACACGCCUGCCUGUGAGGAUCUCAUAAAGCACCACACCGAAACUCCAUAAAUCACUAUGCGUUGAAAGAUGGCCUGUUUCAAUAUAUUCUGGGGCAGCAUAUCCAUAAGUCCCUACCACCUGAAAACAAAACCAAAGACAAUAUGCAUAAGUGAUAUUGUAGGACACCAACAGACAAUUAUAAUUUUCAUAAUUAAUCCUACGUUUCUUUCCAAGAAUGAUGCACUUCAAAGAAGGUGGCCAACCAUUAAACGGGGACAUCAAGGCCAUGUUUCGAAGGUAGGGCUGGACAUGACAAAUUCAAUUCAAAUGGACAACUAGUCUUCCCUAAUGUUUAGUGAACAAUGAUGGGACUGCACUAUUAGAUUGGACAAAGUCCUACAGGGUGGGUCCCCAUGAGACUCGCGUGGACUUGGUCCCAGUCCUGUCUACUGUGGUGCUCCAAAUGAGGCACAAGUACAUUUCAUCAGUAGUUCGGGGCCAAUUCAAUUAAGUCAUUGAAGUCAACAUAAAGAACUUGUGGCAUGUGUAAGGGGAAGAAAAAAAAUAAGGAACUUGUAGAAAAAUGUGACAUUGACCAGCACUUGUUCCCGGUUACAUAUUCAGCCUCUGCAGUUGAUAAAGCAACACUACUUUGCUUUACUGAGUCCCAAGAAAAUGCACCACUGCCAAAUGAAAAGAGGACCUUUGACAUAAAUGUGCUAACUAAGCAAGUACUCUCAAGAAUGCGGCUCAGAUGAUGCUUGGGGAUCCAGUAAUAAGAACCAUAAGUGGGCUAAGCCAGCUAACUUGGGUGGAACUAUGGAUGCUUGUGUACAUGACAUGUAAUACUAAAGUUGCAUAAUAAGCGCUUAUGCUACAUGUAAAGUUGCCACUCCCUCAGAAUUAUGAGGGUCAGUUUUGGGAGUAUAAAAAGUCUAUUACCCCUCCACUCACCGAUGUUGAUACAUGAGUGCGGUCACCCGUUGGUCCUUCUCUAGCAAGCCCGAAGUCUGAGAGCUUUGCCCUGAAUUGCUCAUCCAAUAGCACAUUGGAGGAUUUGAAAUCUCGAUAUAUCACCUGUCCAUGUAACACAAGAAAACAAGGUUCAACAAACAUAUAAUCAAGAAUCUGUCUUCUUACAAACAAAAAAUGAUCAUGUGAGGUCAGCAAGUGUGUCAUAUCCAUAUGCAUAUAAUUUCUGCAAUAUUUGGAUAUCAGAAGUAAAAUAAGGAUAUGAGGAUAUUAGUUUUUUCAAGCCCACAAGUAGAGCUGAACCAAGCCUGUGACUUCUUUAACUGUAACCCCACCACUAAAGCAACACAUUCUAGUAUUCUGCACAUUUUCUAGUUGUGGGAAUUUUUUGUUUCUCCUGAAAUGACUCAAAUGUAGCAGCAAAGGUUGUUUGCUUUAAUCUAACAGAAAUGGUCCUUGCUCUGUAAUUUAAUUUUUAUAGCCGUCAGAUGAAAAAACUUCAUCUGUACCUAACUUAUGGCAGUUACAUUACAUGAGUGGAACAUAUUCUUUAAGUUCCAAAAGCAGAGAUUGCAGUUUGAAAGUAGGAGACAAGAAAAAGAUAUAUAACACAACAUGAAAUAUCAGCAGUCACAGUUCAAAUCCUCAGUCAAUUUAAAAGGACGACCUAACUAAAAUUCUCACACAUUCGUAAAUAAAUACCAAUAUCUUCUGAAAUCACAGAAAUACCUUAAUCGAUUAUUGUAUUAGUUUCCAUUGGUUAAAUUAACAAAGCCAAAACUAGCAAGCCGGCAUAGAGGAGCCAUAUCUUCAAAUGAUGUGGAAGUUUUAAGUUAAAAACUAACUGACUAACAAUAGUAUGGUCAAAUCAGAUAAAAUGGAUAGAAACUAUAUGCACCUGGACUUCCAGUCCCUGGUGUAGAUAAGCCAAUCCUUCAGCAGAACCAAGCAUAACCUGUAGUCUUGUCAUCCAAGGCAUUGUGGGCAAAGCCCUGUUGAAAAGAUGAUCUUCUAAGCUUCUAUUAGGCAUAUAUUCAUAUACCAGUAGCCGUUGUAUACCUCUUUCUCCAUCUACAGAACAAUAUCCUAAAAGUUUUACUAGAUUUGGAUGAUUUACGACACCAAGAAAUUGAACUUCCGCAAGCCAUUCUUUAUGACCCUGUUUGAGAAAAGCUAAACACCAUAAGCUUCACAACCAAAAGAAUCAGAACAACAUGUAAGAGGCAUAUAAUGUUGUAAAAUGUGUGUAUAAAAGGGUCUCUGAUUAAUCUCAAAUUUCAUUAAAAUAUUUGCCAAUCUCAGAAGGUAAUGACAAAUAUACCACUAGAUUCUGCAAAAUCUGUGCGUCCACCAUAUAUAUAACUGGUUAAAAGAGUAAUAAGAUGUAACUUUUAGACAGACCAAUAUCUUUUAGUUGCUAAACCAUUACCUUCAAUGAAAAACUGUUCCAAUUCUUGUUCUUGAGUUAGCAAAUCAAGGAAUUAAACAUCAAUUCCGUUAGCAUUUCAAGCAUUUAUCUGUCAUUCAUUUAACAAAUGCCAUUCAAGCACCACAUGGAAAUGAAUAUCAAUCAAUUCCAUUUGCCUGAUUUUAAGCAAGCACUUUUCUUCCUCUUCUUGCUAACUUUUGUCACCAACUUACUGCAUCCUUGCUCAUUGGUACACGACAAUAUCCUCUCAAUAUUCCUACACUUCCAGCACCAGAUGGAUUCCAAAGUCCAAAUUUGUCAUCUCCCUAUGUUGGGGUUUCAGCGAUGUCUAGAUCACACAACUUCCUUGACUUUAUCAAAAGAAGGCACUCAGUUUUCUUUCACCCUCAAUAGCUUAAUCACUAUCUCGGAUUUAGUCUACAUCAUGCCCCCACUUGCUUAUAAUUUAUUCUGCUUCUUUGUGACUUUUACUUCAUUCCUAGAUUCAGAUAGAUUUCAAAAGCAUAAUUUAGCCCCCUCGCUUUCUCGAUUCCAAGUGCCGUAUAAUUGCUCCCCGUCCCCAUCCCCACCACGCCUACCAUGUAUAAUCUUAUUUAAACAAAUACGCAGUAACAUAAGAUAUGAUUUAUUUAUAAUAAGUUCAAAUCUAAGUUCAACUAGCAACCUAAUUAAGAAACAUAUUAAAUCCCUGAGCGAAUAAAAAAAUUCUAUUAAACAAUCACAUACGCACUAAUCAAUUAUAAUUAAAUGAUAUUUAAUUAGAAUAAAUAGAAAAGUACACAGUCCUCUACUGGAAGUAAAUUCAACAUUCAAAACACACACCAUUGGAAUUCACCAUCCAAAUACAAUAUGUCAUUCAAUGCCACCAUCACAAUCAAUCUAACAUCCAACAAUAGCACCAAACAAAUAACAAUACCUCCCAACCAAGUAGAUGUGGAAAAGAAAAACAGAGAAACAGACAGAAAAAUUGGAAUGGAAAAACAUAAACAGAGAAAAUUAAUGAAGAUAUAUCGAACCUGUAAGCUACGCGGGUUUAACCUUUUAAUGGCAACUACAAUCGGACUUCCUUGACCAUGUUCAGGGCUAAUUGUUCCUUUAUAUACACUCCCGAAACCUCCUUCCCCAAGCUUUAGCAACCUGUUGAAACCAUUUGUUGCUUCCCUCAGCUCUUGAUAAGAGAAAACUCUCAAAUUGUGCUCCUUUUCUUUGUACAAUUCUGGUAUGCUCCUUGGUGAUGGUAAGGAACUUGAAGAUUUUGUUGCACGAUCUAAAACCAAAUCGCUUGAUUUGCUUUGGUUUCUCAAUUCUGGAGCGGAUUGUGCUCCUUGCUUCUUGCUCUUGGUUUUGUCCUUGAAUGGAAAAAAGCACUUCAUUUCUUAAUUAAGCUCUAAAACAAUAAAUAAAAGUCUCAAGACCUCAGAUGGUAUAUAUAUGUAGUUGUAAAAAUGCUAACUUGAAUUCAUUGGGUGAAAAACAGAGAUGAGAAAACUAGAAGAAAUGGCUGAAAUUAGAUGGGAAGGGAUGAAUAGAAUUGGAAAAGAAAACCCAGAAAGAAAAUAAGGGAGGCUAGUGGAAAUUGUGGUCAACUAACAGACCCCAGAAAGCUAAGAAAGGUCAACCAAACAGAGGGCAAAUGAAGACGCAAUUGGAAAUUGAAGGAAGUGAAGCAAAUUAUAUAGGAGAUGAAGCAAAGAAAGAAAACUCCAGCUGGUAAUUGGAGACAGAGAGGCUGAAAAAAGACAAAGCCAGAUCGAUUUUGAAGUGAAAGGAACAGACAUAAAUUGAACGAGAAAGUUCUGAGAAUGGCCUUAAAGAUAAAAGAAAUGGGAAAAUCUUAAAACAAAGAAGCAAAACCUCGUUUUGGAGAUGCACAGAGAGAGAGAGAAGAGUGUCGUGUAUGAAACGAAAAACAUGAACAGGCAGAAAGGGACAGGACUAAACACAGGCAGAUUAUUCUACCUACGCAAAAAUGAAAGACCAAGAAAACGUUUCAAACCUUUUGAGCCUUUCCUAUCUCUUCGUUCCCAUUUCGUGUCUAAAAGUCAGAGACUCAUAGCGCGUUGGGUUUGGUUUCGUUUUGGUCUCUCCACAACAGAGAGAGCCUUGACUUCAGAUUUUUCCUUAAUCGUGUUGGUUUUAUUCAAUCAGACCAAAACCCAAUAGAGCAUAUCAGAAGAGACAGUAAAGAGACAUUCUACACACAAAAAAAGGCCAAAAACAAUGGAAAUGGAGACAGGACAGGGCAGGAUACUGUUGGGCUUAAAUAUUUAUUUAUUGUGAAGUAAGAAGUGGGUUGUCUUCUAUUAAUAAUUUCUUUUUCAGUUCGUAUUAAAAUAUAUAUAUAUAUAUAUAUAUAUAUAUAUAUAUUGGUUGAACCAUUAAAGCAUAAGGAGAUGCAGCUGCAUCUUCUCUCGUCGGAAAAAUUAUGGUAAGUGCUUUAAAUUGCUCUUAACUGAUGUACAGAUUAACAUUAUUUUCAUUUUCAACGUAAAUAAGAAAGUACCCCCCAUUUGAAUUCAAAUAAAAAUACUAUAAAAUCAAAUUCCCACCAAAUCAAAAUAUGAAAAAUCUGUUUUAGUGAAAAAUACGAUUUAGGCUAAAAAUAGUGGCUCAUUAAGUCAAUAUAUACUUCAUACUAAGAUCUCAUAAAAUCAAGUUUUCUUAUUUGAUGUGUAAGGAAUAAAAACUGUCAAAAAUUAUCUUAAAAAAAUAAUUAUUCCAAAAAAUCAUGUUUCAUACUUAAUUAAUAUUGCACAUUCAUUAAAAAAAUUCUUAGUAUGCCAGUGUAUAUAUAUAUAUUUCUUGUUUAGUUUUCUUGUGCUUUGCUUUCUGAGCAAUGCAAAUAUGAAAUGAACCAGAGUAAUGGUGGAGGAGAUGAGGCCUGCCAACGCUUCGUCAGUGCUGACUACGGGGCCGUUCACAUUUAAGAUAAGAGUGUACUGAUGUUGACUGACGCAUGCAUCAAGUCAUUGUAGUCGUGUGCAUGAGGACUAGUCAAAUGAAAUGGAGGCUACUUCUAGUGACGGGAAAUUUCAUUUUACUACUCGAAAAUUUAUUACUUAAAUUUUACGUAAGUAUUGAUUUUACUACCACUUUCGUAUUUCGGUUAAUACGUAUCUACUAUUAAUAUCUUGGAAAAAAGGUAAGCUUAGCUUAACUAUUGACCCAUUAUUAAGGUAAACGAAUACAAUUAUGGAUGCAUGAAAGAUGUAUGACCCAACGAAUGAUCUUUAUUAGAUAGUAAACGGUGAACUUCAGUAAAUUUUAGGGUACUAAUUUGAAAAGUACUUACUCAAUAAUUUUUUUUAAAAUGGUAAUUAAAUCCAAGCUUUGGAAUACAAGUUGAAUGCAUGGUUUUGGUUCAUGGUCAAGAAUUGACCAGUAACCCUAAAAAAAUUUGAAACCCAAUUACUUCAUCAAUGGACCAAGAAAACUGAAAUUAUAACAAGUUUUUGGAAGCUCAUAAAAUUAUAUUUCAGGAAAAAUUUAAUGAAUUUGUUUUUACAUCAGCGAUGGGUGAAAAUGAUGUUCUCUUGACCGUAAUUACAAGUAACUUGACCAUAGGUAUCCCUAGAAGGGCAUAAAACUCUUUCUUUGACCAGGUCUUUACUUUGGGUCACUUGUAGGAUCAUGAUGUGACGAGGUUUGGUCAAGUGUCCAAGUCCUCUUGUGUCUUGAAAACCCUUUUUUUCAAAGAACAAAAAAUAUUAUUAGUUAAAAUAAGCGAUAUUAGAGGAGGGACUUAAAACAUCUUCCUUUAGUCCAUGUAGUAAAUCAAACGAGCCCUAAAUAUGUUUUUGUUUUUGUUACAAUUCUUUGCCGCACAUAAAAAGUAAUGAACGCUAUUAAGAGAUUUUUGCAUGGGGUGGAUAUUUACAUCUUUUGCAAAACCUUCCUUGGGUUUCCCUUACCCAUGCUUCAUGUUGGUAAAACCCCUCUUUUAAAGUUUUAUAAUAAUGAGAACACUGUAAGUGAAAUGUUAUGUUGGUACUCACGUGAUGUUACUCACGUGAUGUUCCUAAUGAUUUCAUAUUAUAACAUAUAUAUUUAUAUGUUAAUAUUAUAUUGAUUGGCGGACCCACAUAUACUCAAGUGAAAUGUUAUAUUUAUAUGUUAUUGGGAAAAAGCUUUGAAGUCGCCGAGUUUGCCACUCAGCUCUGCCUUGGGGUGCCCACCUCACCCGUUCAAAUAGAUGCCUCAGCAACCUGGCGACAUGUUCUUUUCUGUGUUGCGCUCUGCGCAAUGCGUGUUUUCUUCUUUUAAUCCUGGCCACACGAAAAGGAAGAGUAAUGCUAUUUAUACGGCAACUAAUAUGGUUAUGUCACAUCAAUUAAUAAAAUUAGUUGAUGUGAAAUUAUUAAUUUUAUUUAUUAUUUUGAAAUUGAUUCUUUGGUCUGUCAAGAUAAGUUUUUCCUUGAUAUUGCUUUGCUCAUUCAUGUCCACCAACACAAGAAGCCGUCCAUAUCAAAAAGGUAGAACAAUCAAAGUUGCAAAGCUAGAAUUAAAUAACGCAGUCGAUAUCGAAAAGGUGGAGGAAAAUCCAGAUUUAUGAAGAAUCUUUAUGGGAAGAACAUUGAGAUUUUUAGGAAAAAUAAAUCUUUAACUAUCUUUUUAGACAAAUUUUAGGGAGGAAUUAGAAAUACAACUUCAAUUAUGCUCUCUAUUCACCUCUUAAAAUAGGAAGACUUUUAGGAGCUCCUAAAUUCUAGGAGAGAGAAAGGACUCCUAGUGACUACUUAUAAUUUAAUGUUGCUUUAUUUUAAGAGUAUUUUAAACCUUUAAUUAAUGAUUUAUUUUUAUUUUUUCAUAAUAGAGAUUGACUAAUUAAAAAAUAGUAACAUUUAUGACUCCCUAAACUAGAGAGUAUGAUUAGAGUUAAAAUUUUAUAGAGAGUUCUUAAAAUAGUUUUUAUAUCUUUUUAGCUAAAUUUUAACUAAAAAAUAGAGAACAUGAUUGUAAAUGCCUUAAAAGGAGAGGAUUUGUCUAAUGACAUAUUCAUUACAGUAAGUCCCCAAACGAACUAAUCCAAACAUGCUCCUACCUUAGUUUCUUUCCAAGGGUAAUCCAAAUCAGAGCUACAAAAAUAUCGGCGAAACAUUCCAAAGAAAAACAAAUCAUCAGCACUCAAAAAAUAAGUUGCCCCUUACAUGAGGUUAGGGUCAUCCCCAUUAGUCUAAUUAUGCUUUAACUCUAUGCUCAUGGCAUUUUAGAUAAUUAUUAUCUCACUUAUCCAAUUGGCACUGCCCAAGAGGUUUUCUAGAUCAAGACAACACAAUUAUGCAGAGGAAGUUUUGCAGCCUGCUGUGAUGGGUAACCUUUUGCAGUCAAAGAACAAUGAAGAACCUUAUUGUGCACAGUUCCCUAUCCACGAGCUUCUAGUGUAAUUAAAUUUAUUAUAAAGAUGAAUUGGCACCUGAAAAAUGGCUCCUUUACGGAAACAUCAUUUUUAUCACCUUGGUAAGGUGUCAGUUGUAACUACAUUAAAAAUGUUAACUUACUGUUUUAAACUGGAAGAACAUCAAAAUGGGUAGAAACAAAUCCAAUAUUUUUGCACCAGAUUGCUUCAAAGAUUGAGAAAUCUUUGAGAUCAAUGGCUUUGAUUUACUUGUUGAUUGACGUAAAAGAAGCAAUUUGGUGCUCAAUCCCCAAAAAACCCAAGAAAGCCAUUUGACCUUUCUAUAGCUUAUGCCAUCUAAAUUUCUAAAAUUUUUGUAGUUGUCGCAUAAGGUGUUAAGCUAGCGUGGUCAAUUAAGUGUGUUCAAAUAGCAUUACUGAAAGAGAAAACCUGAAGCCUUAUUUCCACAUAAUGGAAGUGCGUGGUCUUUGAGUCCAAGUUGGAAUUAAAUGGAUCAAGGGAUGCCUUGCGUUGCAUUGAAGUCUUAAUUCUUGACGAAGCUUUGCAUGCUAUUUAGUCUUGUGGCAGAUCCAUCCCUCUCCUCCAAGUUUGAAUGUAUUUUUUUUUUCUUAUGGUUUUUUUUAUCUUAUUUUUUAUAUAUUUUAUAAUAUGUAUUUGGUUAUCUUUGUAUAUGAUUUGUUUGUUUAAUAUUUGAGGAGAAAAAGCUUGUGCGCCGCAUGACUCAAGGUAUGAUGAAUUAUAAUUUGUUUGUUUAAUUGAUAACUUGAUUUGCAUUUUGAUUAGAUUAAUUGAUAUUGAUUUUCGUGAGAUUAAUUGACGAUUUGAUAUGAAUUUUUGUAGACUAAAUGUGUAAUUGACAUGAAAUUUGUUCAUUAAUUGAUAUACUAUAUAAACUAUAGUCAAUUAGUGAUAGACCAAAGACUCUUAUUUGUUUAAAUUAUACAGUUAUAGAACGGCAAAGUGUUUAAAUCCUCCUUCGAAUAAUUCGGAUAGUUCAAAUCCUCCUUCAAAUAAUUCGGGUAUUUCUUUUGAGCUUUUAGCCUUUUAAAUAUUGCCCUUUACCUGAAAAAUUCCUAAAUGCACCACUCACUAUACUUUAAGUCCAUAACAUGUUAGUUACAUCGUUCAUUCAUAUUAUAUAUAUAACACCUGAAUUAGUACAAUGAGAAUCACACUUUUGAAUUCCUUCGCAUUACAACAUUGAUUCCAAUCGUUAUGGUUAGAUACGAAAAAGUUAGAAAAUGACUUUUUUUUUUUUUUUUUUUUUUUUGUAAUGAUGAAGUCAAGUAAAACUUUUUAAAUUGUCAAAAGAUAAGUAUGCAUUGCUCACCCAUCCACUUUAUAUUUCAAUCUUCCUACUCGACCUCUUAAAGUGAGACAAGAGAUUGGCUCAAAACAAAUAUAGUGGGAAGAAAAAGAGGAAUAUGACUACUAAUAAAGUAAUAUAAAGAGUGUAUGAAUUCAACCCACAGUUUGCUUACUAUACACAAUUUGAAAUUAGGUGAAGUUUUGGUGAGCAGGUAGGGUGCUGUAAGCAAAUUACAGGGUACAUAUAGAAUUUUCCAUUGGUUAAAUGUUUUGGAGGAUAUAUCCAGGUAGCAUGUUAUAACUUCAGAUAUUUUUUUUAUUUUUUUAUUAUAUAUAAGUAAUAUUUGAAGAUGAGAAAAUCGAACACAAGACCUCAGAAGAGCAUCGGUGAUUGACGUAUGAAUUUUCCUGAACCAGAAACUUGAAUGCAGAUUACAAUUAGUUACCCCAUUGAUUAAGGACUAAAAAGAAUAAUUAUAUUUCGGUCUAAUUCGUGGGUUUACAACUGAUAAUUUAUAAUAUCACUGAUCAAAAAGGAAAAAUAAUUCAUAGUAUAAUAUAUCAAAUGAGCUAGGUGUUGGAUUGACAUUGCAUGACCCAGGGGGUGGCCUUCCUUUCAAAAAGGAGUCAUUGCAUUUGUCAACCAUUUGACAAACUACAAAGCGUACACUUUUCUAUUGUAUUUGGUCCUCAAGUCCAUUGGUUGCGUUUCAAGUGUAGCUUUUUUACAGCAGUCUUUUCUGAUGAUAAACUUCAAGAAAUUUCUACAAACAAAUACAUUUUAAUCAACAAUUCUUAACAGCGGCUUAAGACCUACUUGUGUGGUCAAGGAGAAAACCUUUUGGUGGGUUAAACUUAAACUUAUGGCAAUGAUGAGGGGUAGCAAGUAGAGCGAUUGCACAGGGGCUUUGAUUUUAUAGGUUGUUAUUUUUUCAUAGUGUAAAAUCAGUAUAACAAGUCAUAAAUAUAUUAAAUUUCGUAUGCGUGUUAUUUAAACUAGAUUAAAUUUAUGAAAGAGAUAUUUAUAAGUUUUACGAGACCAUCAAAUUUGAAAUCUCAAGGUCGGCCUUGGUGAUGUACCCUACACGGAUUCAGAAAAGAAGAGGUCAACUUCAUGAUGCAUGCCAGGGGAGAUACAUGUAAAUGCAAGGUUUGAUUAUAAAGCAUCACGAGGAGAAGCUAUUUGACCGUGGCAGCUUGUUUUCAAAUAUAGUCAGUGGAACAACAUCCUUGAUUAGAAAUUGCACACAUCAAUGGCAAGUGAUGUGACCUUUAACAUUUAUUUCCCGACGUAGACGUACUAAAAUUCAAUCAAAUUUAUUUACACUAGAAAAGAAAGUCCUUUGUUUGACCAAACCGUGUACAUAUUUAGGAAGGCUUUAAACUCAGAAAACAAUAUAUUGACCAAAAAAGAAAAUUCAAUGGAUGCAAACCAGCUGGUCGAACCAUCUAUGAAGAAAGUUGUACUAGCAUCCAAAUGUACACAGCUGCAUGAAAAUUCAUGAUAUGCAUAAAAGUAUGCAAUAAAUCAUAUUCAGGUAGCUAUAAGUUUUUCAAGACUCAAAUCUUAUCAAUGAGAUCGAGUCAGGUCAAAUCACCCGAUAAUCACGAUUUGAUUUGUUUGUUUAUGUUUUUAUGAUGUGAGAAUAGAUGAUUGGAAGUUUGGAUGUCCUUUAAUAAAAUGGAAAAAUCAACUGAUAACAAUAACUGUACAAAGUUUACAAACACUAAAAUGUUUUUAUAAUUUUAAGUUGUAAUCAUCUCUUUGUAAAACUAUUAUAAAUGGCAUAAUGAACUUCUAAAAUCUUUUCCAAAUUCUCUGAAAAUUAAAACCUUUACCCAUUAGCACCUAUCAUUUUCUUGCUCUCUAAAUCCUAAAUCACACUACAUCAUCAAGACCCACAAACUAUUAACUCAAUUACAUGUAUACCAAAACCAUCCAAAACAUCACUCAUACCUUCAAUAAUAGAGGAAUGUUGAGCCAAAGUUUUGCAUGUAAUGAGUUAAUGUUACCACAAAAGAAAAAGGUUAAUAGUUUGGGUUUCAGAGUAAUUUAGUUGAGCUUUUGGUGGAUGGGAUAUCUUAAAUUUGGUUGGGUGUCUAAGAACAUUUGAAUUUGAGCAUAGGUGCCUCUGUCAAUUGGCCUGUCAAAGAAGUUUUUGUUCACUUUUAACAAAAACUCCUAGGAAGUUUGGUUGGGCUCAUGCGAGAGAAGUAACAUGUCACUUUUAAAUGAAAAACUUGAUAUUUGAAAUUUAACCACAAAAAAAAAAAAAAAAAAAAACUUGACAUUUGAAACUAAAAGAAAUUGACAUACCAAAAAAGAGCUCUGCCCUGCAGAUUCAAAUCCAUUUCUUGAGAGAUGAUAAAACAUGAGAUCAACUUCUGAGCUACACUGAUUCAAUCCACAGAAGACCCAAAUUCAUUUCAAAUAUUAAUUUCGGUACAUCAACGAGUAAUUUCCAAACAGAACUUUUAGUAAAAGUGACUACAAAAUCAAGCUGUGAUUAUACAGGGUAUACGAACCAAUACAGCCUAAAAUACAUAUUCAAAGUGGAUUUCCCUCACUUAAAUAGGGAUAACUUUUACGAUCAGGGAAGAAAAAUUGAUCACACAUAUCUCAUGCAACUGAAGCCAAAUACCAAGGCAGAACAACAGUAGUGAGCCUAGCUUUCCUAAACGACAGCUGGUUUCCAAAGCAAAACUUACUGGGAAAUAGUUCCAUAUCUGUUUUGUAAAACAGGGCUGAGAACAGCAUCACGAGAUAAAAAGCUAAUGUCCAUUUGGGCAUGAUGCAAACCAUCUUGGCAAUCUCAUGACAUGGUUCAUUUUGAGCUCUCUUUAAUUAGGAUUCCACAGUAAUUUUCGGGUCAUUGCGGGAGGGGCUAAUCCAGGAAUAUCUCGAAUGUCCUUGUUGUUUGGAUGGACGAGCUGAAAAGUUAAAGAUAUAAGAACAGUUUAACCAUAUAUCCACCAACAACGGCAAAACACAGACGACUGAUACAAGUUAGCAAGCUCUUCACCAGAUAAGAGGAAAUAAAGUUCCACAAUUGAACGCAAAAUAUUUCAUUUUCCUAACUAGGAAAUUCAAAAUCUUCUUAGAUUCAUAGUAAAUAUUAGUUGGAAAUAUACUUUAGCAGCCAAGUAGACAGUCAAGUACACCUUAUCUCUUCAAAGUACUAGCAGUCAGUUCAAGGAUAUGCUACUUUUAGAAGCAUCAAAUGUACUUUCAAAUUUCAAACAAACAAAGCAUAAUUUAGGGUCCGUUUGAUAACCAUUUCAGUCUCAUUUCUCCCUUCUCAACCUUUUUUGUCCCCACUCUUCCAAUCUAAUUUAUAUUCUUCUUCUAUUUACCUCUUCCCCUUUCCCUCCUAUCAUCUCUAUUUUAACUCCCUCUUUUUUUUUUUUUCUCUCCCCCCUUAUUUAUCUCCUUUUUCUAUUUCAACCCUACCUCCCCCCCCUUUCCCUAUAUCUUUUAUCCAUUUUAUUUCCCCCUUUAUCCAUACUUCCUUAUUAUUNNNNNNNNNNNNNNNNNNNNNNNNNNNNNNNNNNNNNNNNNNNNNNNNNNNNNNNNNNNNNNNNNNNNNNNNNNNNNNNNNNNNNNNNNNNNNNNNNNNNAAAUCUAUUUGAAAUUGUUUUCACUUUCAAGUUUCUGUUUACACUUUUGUUAUUUCUCCCUCCCAUCCUCCCCUCUCUCUCAAUCUCAUCCUCACUUCCAUUCUCCCUCUCAUUUUCCUGUAUACUCUAGCACAAAAAAUGAAAACUAAAAACUAAAAUUGAAAUGGUUAUCAAACGGGCCCUUAAUUUUUUUAUUUUAGAACAAUAAACUCCCUUGAAGCACAAAGGGACCAUCAGAAGGCAAAUAACAUCAGUGGCUUCCACAGCAAUAAAUGAAGAAAAAUGAAAAUUAUGAGAAUAAAACAACAUUACUUUUCUAUCGUCUAUCAGGCUAUAAGUUAGGCAAUGAAUAUUAAGAACUCAAUUAUGUACCUGUAGAUGACAACGCAAAAUCUUCUAUCUGUGGAAUUUAAAACAAUUUAUAAAAACAAAACUACAUGCAAGCGAACUCCAUACCUUCACAAUAAUGAUGGCUAUGACUCCAAUGACAACCAGGACAAGUAAUCCCAUAAUACACCUAUCAGUUGCAACCUAACAGGAAAGAAAAUGGGAAAGAAAAAAAAAAGAAUCAUAAUGAGUAAUAGAAAUGGGAAAUAUCAUCAACAUAUGACAAAGCAAGUGGAUAAUUCAGAAAUUGACCUGCCUACCAAUUUCCUUGACCAGCUUAGUAGCUUUCUUGAUUGAGAAAUGGAUUGAGUCCAGCUCGUUGACAAUCCUACUCAUUUGUUCAGUCUAAACAUGAAACAUUAAAAUUUUAAAAAAUUUAAAAAUUUAAAAAUAUAAAAUAAAACUCUAUUUCGAUGCUCAUGCAAUUUUCUAUAAGGAAUAUGAAGUAAAAUAAUUGAAAACAAUCACAUACUUGAGCUUUGAGAGCUGCUGCUGUCUCUGUUCCAACAUUUAUGGUCUCAUGAACGACCUAUUACAAACAGGAACACAAAGAUAAGUUCUACUUGAAUCACUUCUAACAACACCUGGGAGCAGGAACAAUCUUUUUCUUCCAAUAAUAAAAUUGGACCUUUUUAAAAUGUACCAACCUUUUUUGAUCUCUCAAUCGCUUGAUCUGUCUCAUCCAUCAUUUGGUUUCCAUUAUCAAUUAGUUGUUGAUUUGUCAUAGCUGCAAAAUAUGUGGACUCUGGUAAAAAAAUAAUUCAUCUAGAAUGAAGGAAACAAAAGGUAUGACGCCUAAGAAAAUGCAUUGGUCAUCUUCGGCAUUGCAUCUGAACAAAAUACUAAUGUCAAAGUUAUUGCAUAAAUGCAUACUUCUUAGGAACUUCCCUAAAUGUUUAACAUACAUUACUUUUCUUUGUUAAAUCAAGUUUGACCUCUAAUCCUACACCAAUCCAUCCAGGUCUUUUAGUUCUUGAUCCAACCAAGGGCUUGUAUUGAUUAUGCAGUCACUGUUGUCACCGGUGAACAAUCUCAUAUCAACUCCGAAAUCCAAUUCUUCCAAAGCUUCAUAAAGUCAAUAUAGUCACAAAGCCCAGCUGGUGGAAAGUAAUAAUCGGUUUUUGAAGCACUACUGUAUCAGAAUUAGGCAUUUUUACAAAUUUCAGGUAGCUACAGAUGCAUUUUCUAUAUAAUAUCAUUAGAGUAAAGACCUGGGUACUCGGUGUUAACAGAAAGGUGAGUUACUGCAACGUGCAGUGAACAUAAGGUCUUGUAUGGCUCAAGAUGUGCAUUAACCACUUAGACUUACAAGUGCUAUGAUAUAGUCAAAUUCACCUAUAAUUGAUUUUAUGAACCUAACUUAUGACAAAACGUACAUCAACACCACCAUGCCAAUUACAUAAUGAAACCAAGCAUAUAGAGGAAAAGUCAAAAUAAUUGUAUAUCAAUUGGUGUCCCAACGUCCAGUGAACAUAAGGUCUUGUAUGGCUCAAGAUGUGCAUUAACCACUUACAAGUACUAUGAUAUAGUCAAAUUCACCUAAAAUUGAUUUUAAGAACCUAACUUAUGGCAAAACAUACAUUAACACUACCAUGCCAAUUACAUAAUGAAACCAAGCAAAUAGAGGAAAAGUCAAAAUAGUUGUAUAUCAAUUGGUGUCCCAUGAUCUUACAAAAGAGAGAGAGAGAGAGAGAGAGAGAGAGAGAGAGAGAGAGAGAGAGAGAGAGAGAGGUAGAGAGGUAUUUAUGAAGAAAAGUUGUAUUUCAGUUGGUGUCCCUCCCAUAUUUUCAACCAUAUAUGUAACAUGUGCCAUGUGCCGGAACAUGACCCAAGCUUGUAACUAUCCCUAUCCCUCUCUCCGUUAUAGAUAACUAACUUUUUCUUUUUCCUUUUUUUUUUCUUUUGGAGUCACCUUUCUAAUGCUUUCCCUCAAGUGUCUAUUUUCUCCUCCCCACAUCAACCAUGCUCAAUUUACCUGGUGAUGUUAUGGCAUUCCUCGUAUGUAUUUGUAUAAGCAUGAAUCUGUGAGUGUGUUUGAGUGUACAUGUGCAUUUGCAUGAGCAUUUGUGUGAGAGCUAUUUAUAAGAGCAGGAAUUAUCAGCUGAUGGGUCAAUUAUUAAAGGAUACAAGGCCGAAUUGCAAGUUAACAAAUAAAUAGAUAUUUGCUUACACGAGGCUAGCAAGACAUUCUGUUCCCCAUAUUCCUCGGCCGGCCCAUCAAAGAGAUCAAUUUUCUUGUUUUCAAGGUUCGACGCAUACCUGCACCAAAGACACAACAAACGUUUUCAAAAUUUCUUAUAAAGAAUAAAUAAAUACAUUUACUUGUAGUACUAAAGCAUUAUCAAUUUAUAAAUCAAUUUUGACCUGAAAACAAACCAGUACUUUGACUCAUCCAAGAGAACAAUAGAAUAGUUCUUUUUCAACAAAUAGUGCUAUGUAUUAUCUUUCUGUAUAGUAAAAGUCAGGCUUCUUCUGCUAUUAGAAGAAUGAUGAUGAGAUGAGAAAUAUGUCAAAUAUUAGGGAAAACAUCGCAUGACCACUACCAUCCAAAUUAAGUUACCCAAGUGCACGCGUGCAUCUCUAAUUAAAAGUAUAGGAAAUGACAGGACUCUACUAAUUUGGAAACACGUUCAUGAAGACAUCCGUGCUAAAUAUUUAGUAUUUAUGGGAACAGUAGAUUGGAGAAUCAUAUCAAUUGUAUAAUUGUGAAUUAAUUACUUUAUUAUUGGAAUAAUUAUGAAUUAAUAAUUAAGACUCAGAAAACACGGCAUUUUACAUCACAGGUAUUUUGGUCUCCAUAUUGAUAUGUAAUCAACAUAUGAAAUCUCAUACAUCAAUGAAAUAUUAUUUAUGUACAUAUGUUAUGCAAGCCUGCGAUAAUAGAUGUUCAGGUCAGACCGAUACAAUGUACAGGCAGACUCACACAACAAUUAAUGUAAUUUCUUGCUAAUGCUAACUUACUGCUUUUUCAGAGCCACAUAUGAAUUCAACUCUUUGAUCUGCACAAAAGUUCCAACAAUGGUUAAUACACUUGUAACAUGCAAAAACAACGAAUAGACACAAGAAGACAAUUAAAAGAAGGGACAAUUAGAAGAAAAAAAAAGUAGACAUGCAAACUCUGUAUAUGAAUUAAGAAUUGACAACCCACCAUUGUCUGCUUUUUCUCAUUCAGCAUUCUACUGGUGUCUGGGUCAUUUACUCUCUCAAUAUUCUUGACUUCUCUGUCAAAUUCCUUGAUAAGCCUGAAAACAACACAACAUAUAUAACCUUCUUAGCUUGAAAAUCUAAUUGAGGACUUCAUAAGUUGGAAUUUAAACGUCUGUAUAAAUUGAAUUAAAUAAUCACAACUUCUACAAAUGAAUUGCAGAAAAUUUGAUAUAUAGAAACCACAGAUGCUGGCCAAAUUUAGUAAUUAAGCACAGAUCCAUCAGAUUAUGGCAUUUGUUUCUCAAAUGACAUGGCAAACCAUCAUAAUAUUGAAUCUAAGAAACAUCAAUUUUUUAGGUAAAGGAUAAUUUUGGGUGGAAAAUCCAAAAAAUAAACCAGGCAAAUCCAGAGCUCAAUGUAAAAGGAUAAGAGUACUGAAUUAGUAUGCAUAUCUCAGCAUAAAAAGCAGAUGAUGUAGUACUGAAUUAGUAUGCAUAUCUCAGCAUAAAAAGCAGAUGAUGUUCAUUACUGCUCAACUAUCCUUAACACGACAACAGACAAGAUAUUUCAAUCCCUUAAAAAUAAUGGGGCAGGAUUUAUGACCAAAUGUCAACUUAGUUAAACUUCACCAAAACUUCCAGCAUUAGUCACAAAUUGUAGAAAUAUUCCAGUUCCAAGUAUAAUAUUUGUUAUAAGAGACAAAAUUUUAUUAACAAAAAUAGAUGAGUGCAAACUGAAAUAUAAAAAGUUUGCAGUUGAAAAGGAGUCCACUAACAACGGAAGCUAAACAAUUAUCCAAAAGUCAAUUAAAAUGGAAACAAACAAAACCGCCCUCCUACCUUCCUAAAUAAUGGCAGCCCCCCAAUCUGCAAAAUAAGCAAAAUAAGGAAUUUUGCAAAAUUCUGAAAAAACUGAAACCCACAAUGUGACCAAAAUCAAUAUUAUCCCACAAAACUUCCUUAACCUCUCCCUAAUGCUAUCAAAUAUCAUCUAAAUUCUUUCUAGCUACAACACCCAAAGCACAUCCAUCAUACCACACCUCCCUAGGACUACACUAUUCUUCCUUCCCCAAAAUGUUUGUGUUCACAAAACAGUGCUAUGAAAGAUGCUGGAACUACCCAGCUUCCUAGCCUCCCAAACAGUCUCCACCCUAAAUGUAAGGCAAUUGGGCAAUGAAGAAACAACUCGUCAGCACUUUCACCAUCUCCAUAAUGGACAGGCAUGACAUCCAAGUGAGAUGAGAACGGAUAUGAGAUCUGAGCAAGAAGAUUGAAUUGAACCUAUGGCACAGUAGCAAGUCCAUUCUAAUCUUUUUAUUUCUUUUUUUAAUAUUGAGACUUCACUAAUGCCAAAAGUCAGUGCAAAGAGAACAUGCACAAGCCAUCCACAGACAACAACCUAAAGAAAAGGCUUCGUACAAAAUUCAACACAAGCCUCUUAAUACAUCAGGAAAAACAACUAAACGAGUUAGGAUACAGCUGCUCUCCAAUAAAGAAGUAUAGCUGAAAGCAAAAAUAUCUCUGAAUUCCGAGAAAAAAGAAGCCCAAAGAAAUGAUCAAAACCUGAUCUUAACCCAAAGAACCUCCUCAUAAACACCCAAAUUAUCCCCAAAGAUCCGUUUAUUUUUUUUCCCGCCAUAACACCCAAAACACAGCUUUACUACACCACUCAAAACUUUUUUCCUUCUACCUCCCACCCCCUCCACAAUCUAAACCACAAAUUUUAAGUCACAGGACAGUGAAGAAACAAUUGAUUGACAAUCACUGCUAGCUUUGCACAUUACACACCAUUGAGGAGACAAACAAACUUGUGGUCUCCUCUGCACUGUGCUGCACGUGUUAACCCAUCUCAGUGACACCAGCCACACGAAAAUGUGGACCUUCCAGAGGUACCUUAACUUUCCAAAUGUUCUAAUAAGGAUGAAACUUUCACAGCUCUAGCAGCAUGUUAACUUACACCUUCCAAAACUGCCAACAAUGCCACCAUAUCCCCUGAUUUCAGCUCAUUUAGAUUCCUUCUGAAACCGAAGUUCCAGCUCAAAGGUGACAAAGAAGAGACUAGAGCAUAGCAAUGAAAGCAUUGUUUAUUGUCUGGCAGGUCUAUCACAUUCCUAAAGUUGUUCAUCAAAAGUUAAGGGGAUUAAGAAAUAAAAUUGUCAACUGGCUAGGACCUAUCCUAGCAUACAUAAUUCAGAAAGCCUUCAUGGUAAAGUUUUCUGAGUAAUGAACUUCUUUCCAUUGUUUGAAGCAACUUGUAAAUAUAUAAUUUUAAUCAACAAGAAACUAUCCAAUAAAGAAUUCCUUUAUUUAUCAUCAUUUAACUUACGAAAUAUUAGUUGAGGAAGAGCUACCUUUGAUUCUAAUUUCAAUAAAGUCAGCUCUUAAUUUAUUCACAAACCAAAUCCAAUCAAACCAUUAAUAGUGAAAAGAAAAAAAUUUAGCAUUCUACAUCAAGAUCAAACGGAGCUUACUGUACUGAAAUUCAUUUAUUUUAUGGAAACUGACGAUGUGUUAAUACUUAAGCUAAUUGCAUCACCCCAAGUCACCAUCACGAACCAAUUUACCAUUCAAUAACUCCUAGCACACAUAUUCACCAACUUAUCAAGAACAUUGAUUGACAUUAAGCCCACAUUAACUUUCACAAUAAAUAACGAGGAUCAAACAAUGAAAAAUACCUCUUACAGUCUCGCAUCUUGUCAGUGAGCUCUUCAAGCUGCCUACUUUGCCUAUUCGAGUCCUUAAUCUUCUCCAGCUUCUGAAACCCAUUUCUGCAAAAAAAAAAAAGAUUAAAAUAAAUCAUGAAUCCAAACACUAGCUUUAGACUUGAAUUUCCAAGAAGGAACCAUAAAACACUCUGAAACUCAAUCUUUUAAUCAACCAAAAUCCAAACAGAGGCAUAAAAUGAAAAUGCUCACGAUAAUGCACGGAAAAUGUCAGUGAUUUGGCCGUCGAUCUCCGCCAGCUCUUCGCUGAUUGCAGAUAACGGAUCCAUCUCUCCAAUAAACAACAAUCAAAUCAAAUCCUUCAGAUCAUCACAAAACUCAUAUUCUGGGAAGUUCCCCGAUCAAAUCCAAUCGGCUUCGAAGCUCAACCGAAGCAAAAUGCAAGAUCUGAAAUCGCCUUCCAAAUUAAUCAAACCAAUAAAAUCGGACAAUAAAAAAAAUCCAAAUCCGCGAUCAGAUCCAAGGCAAUGUAGGUUGCGAUGGCGAUCGAGGAGACCAAAAUCGAAGGGCCCCCGAUCUGAAAAACUCUUCUUUAUAAAUUUAUAAAAAUAAUACUACAGGGGCUUCCCUCCUCGUGAUUUACAGAGACAAAUUUUUUAAAUUUUGGAUUUUUUCUUUCUUUGUUUUUUUUCUUAUUUUCUUUUUGUGGGUUUUGAUGGGGGGAGAGGGGCGUUUAAAAUCUACGACAACAUUAUUGGCCGUUUAAAACGCUCAUUUCGUCGUUAAGAAACUUAGGGUGGGACCCUGGGGCCCGCCAAGAAAACGCGUUUUUAUGCCGUUUUGGGUACUUUAUUGUAGUAUUGUGUUGUGGUGGUAUAGGUUGUUGUAGCCAAACCAGCGGUAGGAAGUUUUUUUUUCCAACGAAAGUGAAAUCUUAUUUUAAACGAACUGAAAAAUAAACAUCCCCUGCUAAUCAACUAAACAACCACUCUGGACAAACCAUUAAAUAGCAUCCUGUGCCUAUUUUUUGUGAUUUAUCUUUUUUUGUGGGGUUUAGUUUCCUAUUAUCUCUCUCUUGUGGACUUAAAUUUCUCUCUCUCUCUCUCUCUCUCUCUCUCUCUCUCUUUAUAAAUUGGGUUUUUAUUUUUCUUAUUAUUAAUUUUUAAGAUUUGAACCCGUUCUCUUGGAUGAUCCAAGAGUCUUAUAGUUACUUAUUCUUAUAUCUAAUUUAAAAACUAGUUUAAAAAAUCUAUUUUGUUUUACUUUUUACUUCAUGACAUUAAUUUUACUUGCAAAAACAUUAAAACAAAAAAGUCAAUUUGUGGGUAACACGCUCUCAAUCCAAAAUCAAGAACGUGUUCUUUUUUCUCCCAAAUCUCGCUGCUAUAGGACCUCCAACUUCAGCCACAACACCCAUCUACCUUCUUCUGAUUUUCUCCAUGAAUAAAUCUUUUUUUUUUGUUACCCUCGUUGAUGAUUUUCAUAAAUGUGCAGGCCCGACACGACUCGUUUAUUAAAUGGGCUGACUCUAAACGGAACGAGCCGGUCCGACACAUUACGUUUGGCACAUCUAGUGCCAAGACAAACCUACAAUCUCAAGCCAGAAAGACUUAUGCGUUGCACCCAACUACUAGUUACCACGUGUAUGAAUAUAACUUUAAAAGUGCAAUUUGAUAUAAGAUUUUCACAUAUCAUUCACUCUUACUCAAUACCCAAACAAGUAAAAGAGUAAAGACCCUACCUUCCUCAGCUUCAACUCCCCAAUCUCUUGUACUUCUAUUCUCUACAACAUCAAAAACCCAUGUUCCAAAACAACAACAAAAAAACCCAUGCUCCAAACGAAAGAAAAUAAAAACAAAAGGACAAUGAUAGCAAGAGAGAAAAGUUCAAGCCUUGCCAAUUUAUGCUCGGCAGGGUGACAGCUAGCACCAACCCUUUUUUUUAGGUCAAGAAGCACCAACCCUUGUGAGUCUAAAUGCAGUCAAUAUUUUGUUUUUCUUUUCCUGCAGAAAAAUUGUCAAAGUUGUGGAGUUUAAUUUUUUUUGGGGUACUUUGCAAUCUGUACACCACAGUGGGAAAAGUUGAAGAAAAGGUGAGAAUCCUAGAAAAAAUGAAAAAUUCUGAUUGUAGGACUACUUGUCAUAUAUAGCCGUACAUAGGUCUCUACUUUCUACCCUGGAGAUUUAAAAAAGGAAGUACUAUAUGGGCUGUUAAAGUUCGUGUCUUAUCCUCAUUGGUUACGAAAUAUUUAGUCUUUUUCUUUUUUUUAAUAGUUGACGUGAAGUUCUUUUUUAUUUUGCUCUCAUUCCCAAGUUACUUGAUCAUCAUAAAUUAUCAUGAGUCAAUAAAUUACCAUCGGAGUCACUAAAUAGUUAACUGCUGCCUCAUUUGAGGCAAGUGCAUCAUUACUCCCUGAAUUUUUAUUUUUAAUUUUUUUUUAUUAAGAGAAAUGAUAAUAUAUUAAACUCACAUAUAUUAUACGAAUGUUAGGGUUUGAAUUCAAGAUCUUAUUUGAGAGAAUAAAUACUUUAAACCACUAUACAAACAGAUCCUUUGCAGACCUUUCAGUUUUUAUGAUAACAAAUCAGAUAAAUUUUGACCCAAAAAAAGAAGACGACAAAUUUGUUGCUUAUCUUAGUUAUGUGUGUUCCUUAGAAUUGUUGAUGAUAUUUAACACAAAAUGAGGGUGCAGUUGCAAUUAUGUCAAAAUAUUCAUCAGUUUGAAUUGGUCACUAUAGCAGUUGAUUGUAUAUAGUUGUUCACUUUUUGGUUUUGCUUGUAGGUUUACCUAGCACAGAAGCAAGCAAGGACCAAAGGGUUCUAUGAUGUCUUACUCCUGGAUUCUGCAACUGGAAAAAACAUUUAGGACGUUAUAUCAUGUAAUAUAUUUCAUUGUCAAGUGCAAUUGAAAAUUUUCAUGGAUUACAAGUAAUGGCAGUUUUGUUUUAAUAAAAAAAUUCUGUUUUUUUUUUCCAUAUUUAUUUUUAACAGUGUUAGACGUAGGUGGUAGAUUGCAACAUUUUACAAAAUUCAAGUGGUAAUAAAUCGCGUACCUAAAAGUUUAGGUGAUAUUUACUCAAAUUUCCCUAAAUUUAAAUUAAUCAUCAAGAAACGAUCCUAUAAUUUAGAGUUCCUUCUUUAUCAUCAUUUAACAACCUAUGAAAUAUUAAUUGAGGAAAACCUACCUUUGAUUCAAAUUUCAAUAAAGCCAGCUCUUAAUUUAUUGAUUGACAAACCAAGUUCAAAUCAAGCCCUUAAUAUAGUAAAAAAAAAAAAAAAAAAUUCCCAUCCUACAUCAAUAACAAACAGAGCUUAUUCUAGUGAAACUCAUUUAUUUCUUUGCCUACUAAUAAGUCCAAAUCCAAAUCCAAAAAGAGGCUUUGAUUUUUUUUAUUUUUUAAACAAAGCCUACAGUUUUUAUCUUAUUAAGGAAACCUCUUGAUUCUUUUUGGGUAAAGUGGAUUGCUUUCAUUGAAACCCUGAACAGAAGAAGCCAAAUACAAAAGAAAGACUCAGAGAGUACAGUACGAAAUCUUGACCGUUCAUCUGCUCCUUUUUCCUAACGUGGACACCAUCCAGACCGUUGAUUCUCCACCAAUCACCGCUCUAGUUCCCAGUUUCAUGCAAGCACCAAACCUAGCCUGUUGUCCGAUUUUACUGUAAUACCCCCUCGUGUCAUCCUUUUUUCUAGGUCCAAGAAAGGGCCAGCUUUGUCCGAAAAUAAAUUCACGCUUACAGACCCCAAUUUGACCUCUCCUUUUUCAACUCUCAAAGAACAAAAUUUACACUUACGAAGAAAGAAAAAAAAAAAAGCGUCCGGCUCCUUUGCUCUCUGGCGUGGCGUGGCGUGCAUGCUCUGAAGCACAAGCACUCUCUCUUCGCGCCCUUUUGCCUUCCUCUGGUCCUGCUCACCAUCACGAAGCUCUUGUUGUGCUCUUCUCUGUUUUCUCUCACUGCAAGUUCGCCAUUUUUGCUGCUUGUAAGUCUCUCUGUCUCCCUAUGACUCUGUUUUGCUGUUUCUGGUGUGUAUAUGCAUGUGUUGUAUGAUUGUGUGUGUGUGGGUGUGCGAUUCGAGGGAAAAGAGCUGCCUUUGUGAUGAUUUUUCUUUGGUGAAAAAAAUUGAAUCUUUGGGAUUAUUGUGAUAGGAUGUAGCUUCUUCUCUUUGCAGUUACGUGUGUAGGUAUAUAUAUAUAUAUACAUAUGGAUGUGUUAGUGUGAUUUUGAUGUAAAAGAGCUGACNNNNNNNNNNNNNNNNNNNNNNNNNNNNNNNNNNNNNNNNNNNNNNNNNNNNNNNNNNNNNNNNNNNNNNNNNNNNNNNNNNNNNNNNNNNNNNNNNNNNNNNNNNNNNNNNNNNNNNNNNNNNNNNNNNNNNNNNNNNNNNNNNNNNNNNNNNNNNNNNNNNNNNNNNNNNNNNNNNNNNNNNNNNNNNNNNNNNNNNNNNNNNNNNNNNNNNNNNNNNNNNNNNNNNNNNNNNNNNNNNNNNNNNNNNNNNNNNNNNNNNNNNNNNNNNNNNNNNNNNNNNNNNNNNNNNNNNNNNNNNNNNNNNNNNNNNNNNNNNNNNNNNNNNNNNNNNNNNNNNNNNNNNNNNNNNNNNNNNNNNNNNNNNNNNNNNNNNNNNNNNNNNNNNNNNNNNNNNNNNNNNNNNNNNNNNNNNNNNNNNNNNNNNNNNNNNNNNNNNNNNNNNNNNNNNNNNNNNNNNNNNNNNNNNNNNNNNNNNNNNNNNNNNNNNNNNNNNNNNNNNNNNNNNNNNNNNNNNNNNNNNNNNNNNNNNNNNNNNNNNNNNNNNNNNNNNNNNNNNNNNNNNNNNNNNNNNNNNNNNNNNNNNNNNNNNNNNNNNNNNNNNNNNNNNNNNNNNNNNNNNNNNNNNNNNNNNNNNNNNNNNNNNNNNNNNNNNNNNNNNNNNNNNNNNNNNNNNNNNNNNNNNNNNNNNNNNNNNNNNNNNNNNNNNNNNNNNNNNNNNNNNNNNNNNNNNNNNNNNNNNNNNNNNNNNNNNNNNNNNNNNNNNNNNNNNNNNNNNNNNNNNNNNNNNNNNNNNNNNNNNNNNNNNNNNNNNNNNNNNNNNNNNNNNNNNNNNNNNNNNNNNNNNNNNNNNNNNNNNNNNNNNNNNNNNNNNNNNNNNNNNNNNNNNNNNNNNNNNNNNNNNNNNNNNNNNNNNNNNNNNNNNNNNNNNNNNNNNNNNNNNNNNNNNNNNNNNNNNNNNNNNNNNNNNNNNNNNNNNNNNNNNNNNNNNNNNNNNNNNNNNNNNNNNNNNNNNNNNNNNNNNNNNNNNNNNNNNNNNNNNNNNNNNNNNNNNNNNNNNNNNNNNNNNNNNNNNNNNNNNNNNNNNNNNNNNNNNNNNNNNNNNNNNNNNNNNNNNNNNNNNNNNNNNNNNNNNNNNNNNNNNNNNNNNNNNNNNNNNNNNNNNNNNNNNNNNNNNNNNNNNNNNNNNNNNNNNNNNNNNNNNNNNNNNNNNNNNNNNNNNNNNNNNNNNNNNNNNNNNNNNNNNNNNNNNNNNNNNNNNNNNNNNNNNNNNNNNNNNNNNNNNNNNNNNNNNNNNNNNNNNNNNNNNNNNNNNNNNNNNNNNNNNNNNNNNNNNNNNNNNNNNNNNNNNNNNNNNNNNNNNNNNNNNNNNNNNNNNNNNNNNNNNNNNNNNNNNNNNNNNNNNNNNNNNNNNNNNNNNNNNNNNNNNNNNNNNNNNNNNNNNNNNNNNNNNNNNNNNNNNNNNNNNNNNNNNNNNNNNNNNNNNNNNNNNNNNNNNNNNNNNNNNNNNNNNNNNNNNNNNNNNNNNNNNNNNNNNNNNNNNNNNNNNNNNNNNNNNNNNNNNNNNNNNNNNNNNNNNNNNNNNNNNNNNNNNNNNNNNNNNNNNNNNNNNNNNNNNNNNNNNNNNNNNNNNNNNNNNNNNNNNNNNNNNNNNNNNNNNNNNNNNNNNNNNNNNNNNNNNNNNNNNNNNNNNNNNNNNNNNNNNNNNNNNNNNNNNNNNNNNNNNNNNNNNNNNNNNNNNNNNNNNNNNNNNNNNNNNNNNNNNNNNNNNNNNNNNNNNNNNNNNNNNNNNNNNNNNNNNNNNNNNNNNNNNNNNNNNNNNNNNNNNNNNNNNNNNNNNNNNNNNNNNNNNNNNNNNNNNNNNNNNNNNNNNNNNNNNNNNNNNNNNNNNNNNNNNNNNNNNNNNNNNNNNNNNNNNNNNNNNNNNNNNNNNNNNNNNNNNNNNNNNNNNNNNNNNNNNNNNNNNNNNNNNNNNNNNNNNNNNNNNNNNNNNAGAGCUGACUUUUUUAUAAUUUUUUGUGUUUUUGGUGGAAAAGGUUCAAUCUUUGGUGCUCAUGGACUAUAACGCGCCUGUAGCAAGGAGGACACGGCUAAGUGAGGAGAAAUACUGGAGGAAGAUAUGGGAGAAACAGGGUGGGAAACGAAAACUCCGUGAUGGGUCUGAUAAAAAAGAGAAAUCACGUAAGGGGUCCAAGGAAUGGGAUUGUGUCUCUCUGGAUGACUCUGAGGAGAAUGAGGAAGCCAGUGUGAGUCCUUCUGUGGGAGGCAAGGACAAGAAGAAGAGUGGGAAAAGAAAACUCCAUGAUGGGCCCAAUAUGAAAGAGAAAUCACGCAAGGGAUCCAAGGAAUGGGACUGUAUUUAUGUUGAUGACUCUGAGGAGAAUGAGGAAGUCAGUGUGAGUCCAUCCACAAAAGGCAAGAACAAGAAGAAGGGUGGGAAAAGAAAAUCUGCUGAGGGGUCUAAGAAACAGAGGUCCGGUUAUGAUGAUUCUGAUGACAGUGUAGCGGCCAGUGUGGAGAUCCUCAGUGAAAGUUCAUUUGGAAAGCAAGACAAUGAUUCUGUGGGUUUUGAUCAUGUUGAGAGUGCCGGAUCAAAUGGAAAGAAUUCUAAAUCUGGUGCUGUGGACAUUGAGAAUUUGUGUCCAGUUGACGUGGAGGAUAGUGAUGGUGAGGUGGUGUAUUUGGGUGAAGAGAAAGUAGGAGGUUUUGGUUGUUCGAGUACAGAGAGGAGUGAUGCCAGUGAGGAUACUGCUUCUGAUGGCUCAGAUGAAUCUUGGAAGAGUAGUUCUAGUGAGGAUGCUAUUUCUGAUGCCUCAGAUGAAUCAGAAGAUGAGUCUUUUGAACAAGAAAAGUCAGAAAGUUCUGUAUUUUCUGAGGAGUCGAAUUCAUGCAGUGGAGAGGGGCAUGAUGAUGAAAGAGAGGUUAUCAAGACAAGUGGGAAACCAAGAAAGGGGACAAGUGUUGAGGGUGAUGUUGAGGUGAAGAAGGGGAAGGACAUUGAUGCUAGUGAGAUUACAAAAGGAAGUGGGAAAGCGGGAAAGGGAAGAAGUGUUGAGGUUGGUGUGAGGAGAAAGAGAAGGGUUGGGUUGGAUAUGUCAGUUGAUGCAGAUGAUGACAUUGAUAGCAACAAAGAUGAUCCUAUUCAUUCCGCACAAGAGUUUAAUAGUGUGGCAAAACGAAAUCGUUCACGAGUUAGUGGAAGAAGUGAAAAGAAGAGAAUGGUAAAUCAACGACUUUGUGUUGAUGAGGAUAAUGAGGAUUCUUCUUCCGGGCAUGAUAAUGACAAUGAGGAUGUUGAUGACGCCAAUUGCAGUGGUCCAAGAACUAGGUGCCACAAAAAGAAAACAGGGACUGAUGAUGAUGAUAGAAGAAAUUAUGAAAGUGACAAGACCUAUGGUGGUCCUAGUAAAUGGAACGGUGUCCACGGAGUGUGCAAGAAGAAUAAAAGGGAUAUCGAGAAUCUGACUAACAGAAUGUCCAUGCGGGCAAAGAAGGACUGUAAUGCUUUUAAGAUUCUUGUAGAUUCCAUUUAUGAGAAGGGAGAAGGGACACUGGAAGGGUCAGUUUCCUUUGGAGAUGAAGGCCCUAAAGAUGAAAGAAAUCCACCAGAAUCUGAGAUGACAACUCUUCCACUUAAGUUUACUUUUCCAUGGGAGCAGUCAAAUGUACCAAAGAAGUCAGAGUGUGAUCCAGAAGAAAAAGAACUAUGGGACGAUCUUGAAUUUGCUCUCAGAGCUUCUGAGAUUGAGUCCCCUGAUUCUAAUGUGGUAGGUUGACAUGAACAACAUUGUUUGCACUCUGCUCCUAGAAAGUACAUUUUUGUUUCUUGCACAAGAUGUUUUAUUGUAAGUGAAUGUUUGAUUGGCAGGUUGAAAAUCAAGAUUCACUCCCUAUUGCUAACGAAGUUGAAACAGUAGCUAGCCUCUGUAGGAGAGGGGUUCAUCAGCUUAUACUUGAUGAAGAGAUUGGACUCCUAUGCAAGUUUUGCUCUUAUAUAGAUCAGGAGAUCAAGUAUAUUUUACCAGACUUUGUAAGUCCUGCAACUGUCAUAUGCAUGUUCCUUUCAGUUAAGACUGAUUAUGUUAGCAUUUUUCAUUUGCACUAAAACUUAGAAUCUAGUUAUUAUUAUGACAACACUACAUGUAGAGCAUUCCGUGUUGUUUGGAACAUGCUUUAGGAUGCAUCCUUUGUUGGCAAUUUUAUCCAUAUAAGUUCUAGAUUUAGAGACUUAGAGCUAGGGCUUGCUAACCUAGAUGGGUCCAUUAUUUGGAAUGAAACUAUGACGUGUUGACGUUCCAUUCCCUGUAACAUGAGUUGGCCAAGUUUGAUUGGAUCUGAGAGCAAACUCACUGUUCAAGUUAUUGACCCAAUUGGCAUAUUUCAACUGUUAUUUGUUAUUAUUAGAUUUUUAUUGUAUUUGUAAAUAGCUCUUGCAUAUGCUCGGACUUGAUCAUUGGUUUAGUUCAGUUGGUUACUCAAAGCUUCUGGUCUUUAACUUGACAGUAAUUGUUUUUUGGUGUACUUAACUUGACAAUGCUUUCUUUCUUUGAUGUUGAGAGGAUCCUUCAUCCUCGGAAGGGGUUAUUUAAUGCUCAUUGGAGGGCCAUUGUUACUUCUAAAAGCUGCAACUUGUUGAUUUUAGUCAUUCAAAUCAUAAUUAUCAAGUUAGUUAUGGUGAAUGUCCUUGCAAUGUUUCUGGCCAAUCUCAAUUUUUUUUAAAGGAUUUCUUGAGUCUCGUCAAAUAUGUUGCUUUGAAUAAUUUAGUAUAUCUUGGCCAAAAAAAAAAAAAAAAAAAAAAGAAUGAUUUAGUAUAUAGGGUCUGAUUUUCCGAUCGUCUUUUACUUUCCUUGUCUGCUUUCUGAUACCUCCGUGCUUAUCAACUUAAUUGUCAUGCUUUAGCAUAUCCGAUAUGUGAUUUUUCCCUUGUGUAUGUUCAUUCCAGCUUGACUGCCCUUAUGGAAGAUUUGACAAAAGAGGCUCCGAAACAGACAACCGGUCUAUCUUUGAUGAGCUUCAAUCCCAUGUUUCUGAUUCUGAUCGCCAUUCUGGCUGUAAUUCUCAUCCUCACGUUGAAGGCACAGUGUGGGACUUAAUUCCUGGUGUUAAAAGUAGUAUGUAUCCCCAUCAGCGUGAAGGUUUUGAGUUUAUCUGGAACCAUAUAGCGGGUGGUAUUCAUCUUGACAAGUUGAAAAAGCCAAGUAGUGUUGGUGGGAAUGGAUGCAUCAUAUCACAUGCUCCUGGAACAGGAAAAACUCGCCUGACCAUUGUCUUUCUCCAGACAUACAUGGAGUUAUUCCCAGAUUGCAGGCCGCUUCUGAUUGCUCCUCGUAGCAUGCUCCUUACGUGGGAAGAGGAGUUUAAAAAAUGGAAGUUUGACAUUACGUUUCACAAUCUUAACAACUUGGAGUUAUCUGGCGAAGAAAAUCAAACAGCUGUAAAUUUGGUGAUGCAAGCUCAAGGCAGGAGAAGUGUUAAUAAAGAGAACAGGCGAAUGCUGAAGUUGUAUUCCUGGAAAAAGAACAGAAGCAUCCUGGGGAUUACUUACCGGCUGUUUGAGCAGCUUUCUGGAGCACAAAAAACUGGCUCAGUUGACGAAAUGGGGAAAAUCCUUCUUGAGUUUCCUGGUCUUGUAGUGUUUGAUGAAGGACACACUCCUCGGAAUGAUCAAAGUCAUAUGUGGAAGGCUUUGUCAGAAAUCAAAACAAAAAGCCGUAUUCUGCUCUCUGGAACUCCGUUUCAGAAUAACUUUCAGGAGCUAUUCAAUACAAUCUGCAUUGUGAGGCCCACUUUUGCAGCCUCGAUUGAUUCUACUAAAUUCAAUAAGGAUCUUCCCAAAAAACGAGGCCGGAAAAGCAAUGGGGAAAAAUCGAAAUGGACUUUUGUGGCUAGUAGUAGUGGAAAAGUUGCUGAUGACAAAGAAAAACAUGCUACAGAAGUCAAAGCUCGGAUUGCACCAUUUGUCCAUGUCUAUAAAGGUUCUGUGCUACAAGAUAGUCUUCCCGGGUUAAGGAACUCAAUAGUUGUUUUACACCCAACCCCGCUACAGGUGAAGUUUCAUAAGAGAAUUCAAGGGGUGAAGGAACUAUUUCGAUAUGAAAACCUAGAGGCUUUAAUAUGUAUUCAUCCUUCCCUCUUGCUUAAGGAUAAGGAAGAUGCAUUUUCUGCCGACCGGGGUAGGUUAGAGGAGCUUAAAUUAAAUCCCGAUGCUGGAGUCAAGGCAAAAUUUGUGAUGGAACUCAUUCGGCUCAGCGAUGCUAUGAAGGAAAGAGUUCUGGUUUUCAGUCAAUACCUUGAUCCGUUAAUCCUUAUAAGGGAUCUUCUGAAAUCUCUAUUUCAGUGGACUGAAGGGGAAGAGGUGCUGUAUAUGGAUGGGAAAUGUGAUAUGAAGCAGCGUCAAUCCUCGAUGAAGGUUUUCAAUGAUCCAUCUAGCAAUGCCAAGGUAUUACUAGCUUCAACUAAAGCAUGUUCCGAAGGCAUAAGCCUUGUUGGAGCUUCCAGGGUUGUAUUGCUUGAUGUCGCAUGGAAUCCAUCUGUGGAGAGGCAAGCAAUAUCCCGUGCCUACAGGCUGGGACAGAAGAAGGUUGUGUUUGUCUACCAUCUCCUCAUGGACGGAGCUAACGAAGAGGAUAAAUACAGUCGCCAAGUUGACAAGAGUCGUUUAUCUGAGUUGGUGUUUUCUGAUUCAGACAAGAAGGCUCUCGAGAAGGAAAUCCGAGCCACAGUUUCAGAGGAUAAAAUCUUGGAAGAGAUGGCUCAGCACGAGAAACUGAAGCACAUAUUUAAAAGCAUAGCUUUACUGCAUGAAGACAUAUACUUUGAGCAGCUAGGCCAGUCAACUUUUGGUUAAGAUUUAAAGAAGACAAGAUCAAUUGAGUUGAUUCUGAUGAUCUCCGAUAAUUAGUGUGUUGUUGUAGAUAGUCAACUAAUUAAUGAUUCUCUUUCCUGUAUUGUAAAGACAAUUAAUGAUUCUCUUUCCUGUAUUGUAAAGACAAUUAGCACGAUAUAGGAUCUGGUUUUCUACUUCCUUGUAUAAAGCUGUGAGUAAUUCCUUGUGCUGUAGUUGUCUUCACUCAAGGGCUGCGAUACAAGGAUCACUUGGUUCCUUCUGUCAUGGUUGAAUGAGAAGGUUUUGUAGACUCCUUGUUAUCUCCCAUGGAAGGAAUGACUACGGUUUUGUGUUUGGUCUCCCAAUAUAUCUCUUCCCUACACUUUGGUUAAAAUGGUUAGACUGCCUCUUAAGCAUUUUAGUGAUCGUUGUUCAUUUUGGAAUACUGGAUUGACACAAUGUGUGAAAUCAACUUGCCCAAUGACAAUUGCUGGCAAUGACAUUUUGCAUUUCCAUGACCAAGAAAGUCUUUACUUAUCUGUGACAUACACAAAUUGUUGCUCCUUCAUCAGAUUGCAAAAUAGGACUGCUUAGCCAUAGAUGCCCUAUGACCAUCAUUGAAGGGUCGGGCGUACACAAAUUCUUCUCCGUCAUUGAUUAAUGCCGUUAAUUACUGAAACUCAAUUAACCAAGCCAUGCUGGUUUUGCAGGACCAAUAUCAGUUGUUAGGCGAGAAUGUCGCCAAGAUUAAAACCAAUCUCAUUGUUACCAUUUUUGCCACAUUUUUGCCAUUGUAUCAAUCCAGUAUUCCAAGGGGCUUGAAUUCUUGCCACAUUUUUGCUAUGUGACAGAAGACUGUGGCUAGUUCUUUUAGGUUGUUAGCCUGGUGAUUGCUGGAAGGCCGAUUAGGUUUUGUUACCAUUGUAUAUGAGUAGUUGUAGUAGUAGUCCCUUUUGAUCUCAUGAUUGAAACUCUGUAUUUUAUGAUUUAUUAUGAUGCUUUCGACUCUUAAAACAUUUCACAAAGUUUGUCUUAAGCAGUUCAUAUUAUAUCACUGCAGUAGUUAGUACCAUACUAUUAUGAUUGUUGACUAAGUGAUGCAUUAUACUAAAAACUGUUGCUUGAUUCCAGGUAUUGGGUAAUGGUUUUGAUGUGAUUUCUGUUGGAAAGCGAAAGCUUGUUCGUUCUGUUUCAACUGAGUUGAACAAAGACCAUAUUGAAAUUUUAGAGCUAGCCCAGGUUGCAAAUUUUUGUUUUAUCUUCCUGCUACCUUUGCCAGGAGUAUAAAUUUCAACGAACUUAUUUGAUUUUUGACAUCUAGACAAGGUCUAAAAUAUUGAUGAUAUCGGAAAUAUCGGUAGUCCAAAAAUAUGGAAAUUUCGAUAGAAAUAUCGAGAUAUUAUCGAUAUCGAUAAAAAUUGAAUAAAAACCACGGAAAUUGUAAGAAAAACUUGGAAAUUUUUAUUGAAACUUUGGAAAAUGUUUAUUUAGUCAAUUAUCUAUGAGUUUAUCACAAAAAAUUAGAAAGGAAAUGCAUUGCAUGAUGGAUUUAACUAAUUCAAGUUGAUUAUACAGCAAGCGGGCAAACACUAUGAGUGUAAAAAAAAUGUAAUAAUUAAUGAAAAAGAUUAAAUACACCGUAAUCAUUUAUAUAUAAUGAUUUACUAUAAUAUUUUACACUUUAUACAUUGCAUGUAUAAAUAUAUGAGUGACUUAGUACCACAUAGAGUUCCUACGAGGUUCAAAUUUUUCACUAUCUUCAUCAUCUCUAUAUGUAGAGUAAGUGUAUUGUGAAGAGUAGUCGUCAAAUGAUAAAUCCCCAAAAUAAUUUUGUAUGUAAUUGUUAACAUACCACCCAUAUAAAUAUAAAUAUUUUAGCAUAUUAUCACAAAAACAUAAGUGAUAUGGUGUUUAAGGUGUUGGAGGAGUAAAAUGGGAGGGGUUCAUAUCCCCUUUGUGCUUUUUUCUCCCCUUUUUCCCUUUUUUUUUUUUAAAAAAAACUUUUUUUUUCCUUCACAUCGAUAUUUUCGAUAUUUUAAAGAUAUUACACCGAUAUUUUAAUAAAAUAUUGCUGAAAUGUGAGCGAAAUUAUCGACAUCGAUUUUUUCCGAUAUUAUCGUCGAUAUUGUCGAUAUUUAUACGAUAUGUACAUGGAUAUGUUCCGAAAUAUCCGUGAUUCGAAAAAACCGAAAUAUCCUCGAUAUUUCCUCGAUAUUAUCGAUAUUUCAGACUAUGCAUCUAGAUGGGUUACUUGCGCUUAUGUUCCGGUUCUCUUCUCUUAGGCUCAAGGAUUUGUGAUUGUUGAUGAGGUAGAGAGACGGUUAUCUUGGACCACUGGCUGUGCAAUUGAUGCAUUCAAGACUUUACUAGAUGUAAGUUGAUGACAUUUACUGAACUAACUCUUACUAUCCACUCUUCCCUUCAGUCUAUUAUAUAUACAUACUACGAUUGCUGGGGCUCAAGAAACCCUUGCUUUUCUCAGGAGGGUCUUGCAAUGAUUGAUGAUGGCCACAAAGAUGGUAUUCGCCGAUAUUGGUUCCCUUGUGUAUCUUCCAUAUCGACUCCAGGAGGAGCUGACACUUAACAAACAUGAGGCUGGUUAUGUGUGCAUACUGAAUGAUGGCUGAUUUUUCUGUGAUUUCCUUUUGUAAUACUAGUUGGUCAAACAGACUGCUGAUGUAUAAAGGAGACAUUUGCAGGGAAUAACUCAUGUUACUUCCCUCUAUGUUACAAAUAGUUUUAUUGAUGAAAUAUAUUGGAAGAUCAUGAUGCUCUGCAAUGAAAUGAAACUUAACACAAAUUUUUUGUAUUUUCUAUGAUCAUAUAUAUAUAUAUAUAUAUAUGAUCAUAGCAUCAUGAUCUUCCAAUAUAUAUAUAUAUAGUGCCUUAGUAAUUUUUUUCUCUGGUCUGUGCCUUAGUCAUUGUAAGACUCAAGUUUGACAAACACAAAGUUCUAUUCUGUUGAAAAUAAUGCACAUUUGUGUUUAAGAUUUCAAGAAUCAUCUAGAGAAUUCAAGAGCUCACAAUAAAGAAGUUGCAUGGCAGCAAAGCAAAAUGAAUAUGGUGGAAUAUUCUAGAAAAAGUGAUAAGUGAAUGGCUAGAGUAUGGCGGUGGAAGAAAUCUCUAGAGCAUACAAACAUGUGGUUGCAAGAAAUCUUCCCAAGUCGGUGGAACAAAGCAUGUCGGUUGAUCAAGCCUAUAAAUAGGCAUGCAACCACAAUGGAAUGUGGAGUAGAACCAAUCAACUCCCAAACCAUUAGGGAGCCAAGAGCUAAUCAAAUCAAACUAUGUUGAGAGCCAAUAAGCUCAUCAAUCAAAGUGUAAGGGCCAAUUAGCCUAUAAGGGCCAAAUAGCCAGCAAAGAGAGUAAGAAUAGGCCAAAUAGCCAGCAAAGAGAGAGAGAAUAAUAGGCCAAUAAGCCAAAAGGCCAAUAAGCCUAGCAAAUAGUUUCUUUCUAGUUGUUGAAGGCCAAUAAACCUACUCCUCUAUAAAGCCUUGUACCCAUCUAUUGUUGAAUAAAUAAAAUCACUCUUUUGUUCUCUAAAACCCAACAAGUGGUAUCAGAGCAUCACAUACGCUCAUCACACACCUACUACAAUCUAACAGUGGUAUCAGAGUUGGUUCGAUUGCAUUGGGCGUCAGAGCUGGUUCGAGAGCUAGUUCAACUCGAGAGUCGCAUUCGAUCAACUAUGGGCGCAUGGGCCGACUCAAAAGCAAGGUACGUGCUAUCAAUACUCAAUUCAAAGUUUCAAGAAAUCUAGAAGGGGAACGAAAUCUAAAGAAAGUUCUAGAGGAGAAGAUAGUGAAAAUAAAAGAGAUGGCAUGAGAGGAAAAAACUUUCCUCCAUGUGGAGUGUGCAAAAAGUUAAGGCACCCAAAAAAAAGAAAAAGAAGCUCUUUAAUCAAAGUGUAAGGGCCAAAUAGCCCAAACUAAGCAAAGUGUAAGGGCCAAAUAGCCCAAACUAUUCUAAAUCAAGUGUGGUGGUCAAUAAGUCAAUAUGCUAAGUGUAGAAGGCCAAUUAGCUUACACCGAGCCAUGUACUAUUCUUAUCCAAAUAUAAUAAAAUCACUUUGUUUUUUCCCUUCAACUCUAACAUAUUCCUUAUAAAGCGAGCUAAACUUACCCGGCCCACAAGCAAUCUUAUAAAUACCCAGAAAUUAUUUUUGAAAAAAUCUCCAUUAACGCAAGAAUUAUGGAGGGAAAGCACUCACGAUGGAGUUCACGGCCCUGCGAUUUGCUAAGAAAAAUCAGAGGCCCUCGCCAAUUUUUAUAAUAAACAGAUUAAUUUAUCAAAAUGAACUGAAAUGAGUGUUCAUCUUUCAUUUUUUAUUAACAAUAAAGGCAUAGAAAACCAGAGAUUUAUGGAUAUUAUGUUGUCAGACUAUCAACCUCAUAACGACAUUAACAGACAAUUGAACUCUAUCAUAAAUGUACAAGAGAUUUAUGCAAGGUACCAGUUACUGAUUACCUGGUUCAGCGAAUCCGUUUCAGAUGUUUUGCUUAGGGUUCUAGUAAUUGUUCAGCAACUUCUGCAAGAAAACAGACAUGGGUUUAAGAGAGAUAUCUAUGACAUGCACCCUUCUGUGUUUUCAGGUGAAUCUGAGUUAUUUGUAAGAUAUAGUUCGUUAUGAGACUUGAACUUGGAUUAUGAUAAAUGGAA